UUUAAUCAAAUAAUUAAUGAAGAUAUAACAUGUAAAAUAUAAUAUAAAAAUUAAUAAAAAAAUAUAAUCACAAUAUAUAAAAUGUUAUAUAUAUAUUAAUUUUAAUACGUUAUAUAUGUUUAUGUAUUUUAUUAUUUAUUUUAUUAUUAAAAUAAUUUAAAAUAUAUUUAAAAUAAUAAAAAAAUUAUAAAAAAAUAAUUCACCCAGCGUAACGGGACGGUUAUUUCUAGUUAAGACAAAAGACAACCUACCUAAGAAUUAAAUUCCUUCGCUCCUUUCCUAGAUAGAACAUCCCUUUGUUUUUCUGGUCGCCUUUCCCAACGCCGUUUUUAUAUUUGGUUGUAGCCUCUUUCCACGAAAACUGCACUUGCUUGUCUCUCGACUCUUUUCUUAUUAUUAUUAGUAUUAUUUUUUUAUCUAGCAUCUUUUCUUUUGUCCAUGUAGACAAAUUCCUGGACAACCUUUCUUGCUAGAAAGAUGACAGGGGUUCGGGAAGGUGAUCAAAGGGUGAGUCUUGAUCUUCUUAAGCAGAAACUGGCCAACUUUGCCAAGGAAAGGGACUGGGAUUAGUUUCUCUCUAUUGGUUACCCCAGGCAAAACUUCAUGAAGAUUACUGUUCUUUCUCUGUAUGUAAUUUUGUUUUCUGGUUUUCUAAGUUUGUCUUUGAAUAUUAGUUUCCUCAUAAUUUAUCUCUAUGAUUUCUAUUGCCUAAACCGGAAUGACCCAAAUGUGAUUAAAAUUAAAAUUAUCCUCCAUUUAAUUUCCUAUGAUCCAAAAUCAAACGAUUUUAUUUGAUCCAACUUAUUUAAUAAAAUGAUCAAAAUUAAUUAAAUUAAUAACUCUUAAAUUUUAAUUAUUAAAUUUGACCUAAGUAAAAUAGUCCAACAAAAAAAAAAAAAAAACUCAUUAAUUUUUACCAAAUGCUUAAUCCUAAAUGGUCAAAAAAAAUAUCCGAAAAAAAAAAAGACAAUUUAUUUUCACAAAAAUGCCCCAGUUAUACUAAAUGGCCCAAAUAAUUAAUAAACAAAAUUGGCCCAAAACAUUGGAAGCAAAACUGGCCGAACAGUAUUUUCCUAGAUCAAUUUUGUUGAAAUUAAAAUUAGGCUUAAUUUAAUUAUUUUUGACCAUUUUGCUUAACGCCAUUAUAGUUAAUAGUUUUACAAAAUAUUUUGGGUUCAAAAUUAAUGGUUCUAUUUGGUAAAAUAUUCAACCCAAUUAAAUGGGUUCUAAAUGAAUUAUUUUGGUAUUUUGAUUAGCCUAAAUUUGUGAAUUAAAAUUUACCCAUUUCAUUAAUAAUUCAUUUAAUUCUAUAAAAGUCUAUAUAAUUAAUAAAAUUACCUUAUUAUUUCAAUAUUCACUUUAAAUCAAUUUAGUUGAUUUUUUUAGACCUAAUUUUUUUUUGUAUAUGCUUCCAAUAUUGCAUAUUUCUAUUUUGGUUAAAUUUAGUAUGAUAAUUUUGUAAAUAUUCUUAAAUUACACAAAUUACUAAUCAAAUUGAUUGGAGUCCUCCUGUUAUGGAUGUAAUCAUUAAGAUUUUUUAGAUUUUUCUUGUAAUUUUUUUCGAAUAAUAAUAAAGCAAAUUUCUUAUAAUAGUUGCAAUAUUUAUCAAGGUUUGUAGAAAAAGUAACACAUUCUUUGUUGGACUGAUUAUUUUUUUUAAAAGAUACUUGGAAAGGAAAGGAUUUUGGUUAGGGUAUAAUGUGAUUUAACUACCCUAUCAGUAGUAAGUCAUUCCAAGGUUAUAUCCGACCAGUUCUACAUUAUCCUCUGUAGUAUGCUCUAAGAAAACUUCAAAUAUGAAAUUAAUAGAAUAACUAUUACAAAUGAUUUUGUGCACAUGCAUAAAACUAUUUUGAGUUACUUUAUAAAUCCUUCAAUCCCAGUUUCAUCUUCAACUAUCAUUUAACAAGCAUUUUGAUAAAUGAUGUGAACUCUACAGUUUUGGGCAUAAUGAAUUUGAGAAUAGCUUAUAGAGUUGAUCAUCUUUAAUACUUGCUCAGGUGAUAAACUCGCGUUACUUAACUCGAUUGAAGACAAAAGGACAGUGUGCUUCUUAAAGACAUUCUAAUUAGAAUUGUUUGAUGACAUGUAGGUAUACCAUUAGUGAACGCAUCAAAUAAAGUGUUUUACACACUAAUAAUUAAGGCUGCCAUUAGAGUCAAUUUGAAAGGUUCUAUAAAAUUGAAAUAUUGAACCACAUAGACCAUUCACCACUACCAUAUUGGAUGAGGUAGAUGGUUUCCGUGAGCACAUUCCAAAAAUGACCAAUGUUGAAAUAUGGGACCAAUUCAUACUAUGAUAGUUUUUGAACCACUUUUUUUUUUUUAAGGUGACACUAUGAAAUUCAUCCAUAAAGUACAAAAGAAGCAUGAGAUUUAAAUAUCGUAAGUGCUAUAACCAUAAAAAGGAAAAGUUAUUAUAAGUCAGCAAUUUCAUUCUGUCUUUCAAAUGAUAUAAGUUAAUACUACUGCCAAAUGAAAUAUCAUUGAGAAAGGUCUUGUAUAGGUCUUGUUAGAGGUCAUUUAAAAAGAAGUACUUUGUGAAGCCACCUAUUUCGGUUCUAUGAAUGCCUUCGAACUCUAAAGUCAGAGGAAUUUAGAAAUGUAUGCCACUUCUGUUAUAAAUCAAGCAUAAGAGAGUAAUUUGUAAAAAUUAUCUAGACUGAAAAGUGAAACAAGGCAUUAUGUUAGCCUUUUUCUAUUUGAAUCUAAUCUAGUUACUAUGUCUUCUACUUUUCGUGGUGGGAUACAAGUGUUAUUCAUGAACAUGGGCAAUCUUUUUCAAUUGUGCAUGCUGUUAAUGAUGUGGUUGCUGGUUUUUAAUCUUGGUAGAAUAGAUGAGAAGUUUACCAUGUUGUGGCAUAGAUGUUAGGGAUAUUUCGAAUUUGGCACAUAAAUAGAUUGCAUUGAGAGAAAUCUUGCUGCUAAUAUACACUAAUGAUUAGUAGAUAUAAUGAAGUUUAGGAAUUGACUUAUACUAAUAUAUUUGAAUUGUUUCCACUUAUGGCUUUUAAUGGAUAAAAUCAUUUCAUCAUCCUCACUAAAGACCAUUUAGGUUUCAAUCAUAUGAAGUGAAAAGUCUAACUCUGUUGAAGCCUUAAAGUUUUUUAAAAAAUCUGCUAUCAAGUUUUCAAAAGUACGAAAUUAAUGCAAAAAUAUUAGACAAAUGAUGAAUACUGUGGUCAGAGUGAUGAAAAUAGGAGCAAUCCUAAACUAUCCUAUUAAGUCUUCUAUAAGAUUGUGAUGUUAGCAUAUAGUAUGUUAUGUUUGGAAUACUAAAAAAAGUAAAGUUGCAAUAAAGGGCGCAAUUGCACAUUUUUGGGCAUGGUGCAAUAAUGCUAAAUCAUUCCACAUUUCUAGAUUUCAUGUGGAAUGAAAUCUUAGAGACUAUAGCAUUCAGUGUAAAUCAAGCUCUAAGCAAAAUUAGUUUAUAAAGGUUGUUGUAAAUUGCAAAUAUACAAUAAGCCAAUUUCAUGUUGCUUUUCGACUUUGGCUUUGCAAUAUAGAUUUAUGGGCCCAUAACUCACAAUUAAGGAACCUUGAUUGGAGAAAAUUAUCUGCGCUACUCUGUUGGUUGUUAUAGCAGCUUCAGAUAUUCUAGAUUUAAUAAUUUGUUGUAUAAUACUAUAAUCAUCAAAUAUGACUAUGCAUUCUAUUUAGAGGAUGACUUAGAUAGUGAGAGUAUUAGGUUUUGAAUUCUGCAAAGUCAUUUUCAUGAAAAAUAUGUUGUUGUUGUACCAAUCCCCCAUGUGAUUCAGCUAAUGCUGGAAAAUGCCACAAGUGUUUAAACCAAUGAUUGGUCCUAGCAACCUUUUUUUUUUUUUUGGAAUUGCAGCUAAACUUACAAGGGAAUAUGGCAUUCAUGUGUCUUUUGAUUUUGUUUAGUUUUAGGAGGCUUUGCUGAUCCUAAUACUCUUUAAGUUGGAUGUUUGCCAAGUAGUAUGAGAUUGUAUGUUUGUUGUAUACUUGUGCGUAAGAUCAAGAUGAAUGACCACAUUAUUGUAGUCCAAUCGAAUGUUGAUGGACUUAUAAGGUUAAGAGGUGCUCCAUAGUCUACAUAGAAAGAUUUAAAGUCAAUUCUGUGAUUUAGGGAUCUAAAUGAUAUAAGGAAUUAGGUGUGAAGAAUCCUUCUAUCCCAUUUUUACCAUUGAUUUUUUUAGAAUCUUUAUGGUAUUGGUGUCUUAUUCAAUUUCGAGUUACAUGAGCUAAACAUUAAGACAUCUACGUAGAGUAACCUGAAGAUUCUAUGAACAUUCAAUUUAUAGACUCAAGAUGUCCAUUUUUGGACUUAAAAAGGCAUCCAAUUUGUGAUAAUGGAUGUUUGAUGAGAUUGUGAUAAUUCUAAAUUUUUUUAAAAUUAUCAUGAACUUAUUUGAUCGAUUGUAUCAUUUAUUUGAUUACUUUUGCUUGAUUCUUAGCUAUUAUAUUUAAUUUUCUCCCUAAUUUUGGGUUAUUGUCUUAUGUGUAGGUAAAGUAACAAAUUGACACCUAAGUUGCCACAUGUGAGAACGAAAGGAGGAGAAAACAGCUAGCCACUCUUGUAUGAAGAAAGCGUGACUUAUGCAUGAACAGAAAAAAAAAAAAAAAAAGAAGCAUGAGCUGGCAGCAGCUUCUACAUGGGUUGUAAUUAGAAAAAUUCCUCAUUUUGGCGCACAAAAAGGUGUUGCUGACUUGGUGCUUAGGUGGCUGCAUUAUGAUUGAUUAUGGCAGAAUGUUGGACACUUAAUAGGUUGUUAAGUUCAUGCAAGAACGGAGGAGAAGAUAGCUGGACAUGCAAUCGAAUUCUUCCAAAAAAAUGACGCCUAGCUACUAGUAGCUGUGCAUAUUGGUUUCACGAGAAUUCUUCCAAUAAUUUGUUGAAAAUUUGACAUCUUUUAUGGUAUUGUUGACAUGGCUCAAGUAUGGAAGGUAAUUGGUGGAAGUUGAGCCUAUGAGUAUCACGUUUUCAUCCUCGCAAAAGAGAAGAAGCAGCCAGUCGUGAGCCACCAACAUGUGCAAGUGAGGAGCUAACUUGAAGCUGACUUUGGGAGCUUAAAUGAAAAAAAAAAAAAAAAGCCAAGACGUCAAGCCAAAUUUGGAGCACCUUGAUCAGCUAUGACUGAUACAAGAGAAGGGGGACUAUAGCAUUACAAGACAAAUAUGGACCGCAAAGAAAAUGACAGCCAACCAUUACACUCUCUACUGUAUGUCACGUUUUGGAGAAAUAUUUGGAGCUGAAUUUGAGCUGGUUUUGAACCACUAUUGAAGACAUUUAUUUAAGCUUGAAAUGAUAAUUUUAUAACCUAAAAUGGGGAGCAAAAACCGGUGCAAACACCCAAGACAAUCAUGUUUUUAAUGGGGCUGGCAGUGAACAUUUUGGUGUUGUUUGAGCUAACCGGUUGUGCAUGGGCUGCAUGGGAAGGAAAAAUAUGGAUUUCAGAACUUGAAGAAGCUUGGAAGAGCUGGAAAAGCUGCCAAGACGAAAAGCCAAUGCAAAGCCAGUUGCCUAAUGUGUCCAAGCCUAAUCAAGUGUGCAUAAGCUGCAUGAAAUGCAAUUUCUGCCAAGGCUGGGAAGUCACGAUUUUGGAGGGAAUUUUGGCAUCAAUUCUGCAAAGAUAACUUGAAAUUUUCCUCCUCUCCGAUUGGAUGGCAAGAGUGCAUAAGGAUCACCACUCAAAAACAUGCAAAGAGAAGCAAACCAUGGACUGCUAGUUACUACCUAAUGCUGCCAGAUUUCUUCUUUUGUGUUGCUUCUGAUUUUUGGGGUUUUGGAAAUGCUUUUUGUUGCAAAAAUCAGAGGGCACAUAAACAUGCAAAUGAGGAAUAAGUUUGAAUGGCAGUGGCCAGGCAAAUGAGGUAGAGUGCAUGAAAAUGGGAAUGUCGUGCAUGAGCAUUUCCCGUUGUUGCCAGUUUUCAGAAAGUUACAGUUUGGGAGCUUGAAGAGCUCCAAAAAUUGGUCUUUGCUGAGUUUAAAUGGCUGCCAACACACCUCACACAUAGCUAAUUAGGAUCCUCCCAUUGGACCACACUUGAAAGCUCACAUGAUGGAAAAAUGACAUGGACAAGAGACCCUUUGCAUUUUCGAUUUUUUUUUCCAACUCCAGAACUAUCUACAUUUGAGCAGGGAUUUUGAGGGCUGAGUUGUAUUAUUAAAAGCCAUUGAUUAGCUAAAAAUUAACCUAGCUUUGACCUUUAAAGAGAACAUUUUUAGGGCUACAAAAGAUGAGGCCAUAUUUUGUAUUUCGUGGGGUUCUUUUCUUAGUGUUAGGAACAACUCAAGCAGAUAACAGCUAUUGCUGGUCUGGUUGAGCUCCUUUAGCCUUCAUUUAGCUUUGUUUCUGGGUUAUUUUCUUAGCCAAUUUACUUGUGUUUCAGUUAUCUUUCAUGUCUUAAGCUCUUUUUUAAAUUUCGAACACUUUGGUUACUCCUAAGUUAAUGAAAUUUCAGUCUAUAGCCACUUUGUUUCCAGCACUAUUUUGUUGUUCUUUUUCCACUAUGUUCAGUUCGGUUUCUCUUUAAGUUUCUGCCAUUUUUAUGUUGCUUGUUCUUGGAUUUGGGCUGAGGAUGAAAGCCUAGAUUGAGCUUUAGUCUGCAAAAUCAUCUAAGGGGUCCUAGAUGGCUCGACUCUAUUUUAGCUCAUUUUAUUGUUCAGUUUUCAUGCCCUGUUUUCAACCUAGUUUUUCACCCAUUUCUGUUUGGUUUUUGGACUUGCUCACCUAAGUAAUUUUUUUGUUUGUUUUUAAGUCUAUUUUCAAGAUGCGGCUUUAUAUUGAGAAUAUCAUGCACGUACCUUGAGUUAUGCUAACAUUUAGGCUGAAAGGUCCAUGUUUAUUCUCAUUUUUCAUGAUGCAUUUUUAACAUUGUUUUUGUCCCCAUUGUGUUCGAUUUUUAAGGGUUGGUUUUGAUAGGUUUUUUGUUGCAUUUUAAGUCUAAUUUAAGUUGAUUAUGUUUCUUUUAAUGUUUCCAUGCAUCACAUGUUAUUUUUUCUUUCAUUAUAGCUCAUAGGUUCACUUGGCGGUCCUUUAUGUUUUAUUUUAUUAUUUUUCUUUUUUAGGUACUGUGUAGUUAAGUUUUGGUUGUUUCUAACCCUAUAAAAAUUCAUCGGAUAUUAUUCAAGUUUUGUUUAUGUCAUUUGCCACCAUAUAGGUUAGGUUACAUUUUUUUUAGUUGUUUACAUGUUACUGUAGACAUCAAAUUUGAUCAACGCCCGAAUCAAUUUGGCAUAGUCCAAUAGGGUCAAUAAUUUAUUAAUUUUUUUUAUUAUCAUUCUGAAUUUUAUGUUGAUUAUUUAUUUAUUAUUAUUAUUAUUAUUUUAGGAGAUAAUGAUGGUAAAAAAAAAAAGAAAGAAAAAAGCAAGGAAUCUUGCUGUGAAUGGGGCUAGAUAGAAUCAUAGUUGGACUUAAUUCUUAUAGGAUAAGUCUAAUGGAUUUAUGAUAAUGUAGAAUUCUGAUCAAAGGAGAACUUAGAAUUGAUCAAAAACUCUUCUGAUCAUAGCUUAUAAAUACCCACAUUGAUUAGAGGCAAGGGACAUAGAAAAAACACACAGAAAUAGAAAUAAAAAAAUCACAAAUAGAAAGCAACUAGAAAGCUUUUCGAAGAUUUUUGGGUUUAGGGGAAAAAAGGAAUUUUUCUGAAAAAAUCUAGAAAAUUCCUAGAUUUUGGCAAAAAUUUCUAGUUUUUAGUGAAUUUUUCGGAGCUGGUUGAAUUUUCUAAUGACUUUUUUUAUGCCAGUUGAAUUUUUCGAUAAGGGUUUCCAAAAUCCGGUGGAGAUUUCGAUGAAGUUUGAAUUUUUCAGUGACCAUCUGAGAAACCAACCUAGAUUCUGGCGGUAUUUUCUAAAAUCUAGUUGAUAUUCAACUGAAGAUUUAAUCGGGUUAAAAAGAAGGGAGAGGAAAAAAAAGGGAAGAACAGAAGAGGAAGGUGAUAUAUGAGAAAAAGGGUUGGGAGUUGCCUUUUAUAUAAGGCCCAAAAUGACGUUGUUUUCAUCUUAAGAAGACCCAGGAUCCGUGUGUUUUUAUUCAGGUAAUUCGACCCGAGCGCAGCCCAUUUUGCCAAUUCCCUCCCCAACCUAGCCAAGCUGAGCCAAGUCGUCGAGCCAUUUUUUGUGUUUGAAGCUAAGCUGCGCUAAGUUGUUAAAUCGAGCCAUUUCAUUUUUUUUGGUAUUUUGUUGGUAUUUUGUUGGUAUUUUUUUAUUUUAUUUACGUGUUUGUGUUUUAGUAUUUUUGUAUAAUUAAAUUUAGGAAAAAACAAAAAAAUAAUAAAUAAUAAAUUUUAGGAAUAAAUAUUAAUUAUCCAAUUAUGAAAUUUAUAAAAAUUUCAAAUGGUAAAUUUCUAUAAAAUUCCUAAGUGAGAAAUUUUGUCUAAAUUUGUCCCAAAUGAUAGAAUAACUUAGAUAAAAUUUUAAUAACAAUAAUUUAUAUUUAUUUUCAAUAAAAAAAUAUAAAAAAAUAAAAUAUUUUGGUUGAAAAUAUUUGAUAAUUAUCCAAGGAUAAGAAUCUUUGAAAUUUCAAAUGGUAAAUUUUAUAAGAAAUCUCUAGCUGAGAAAUUUCUUUAAAUUUGUCCCAAAAGAUGAAAUAAUUUAAAUGAAAUUUCAAUAAAAAUAAUUGUCAUAUUAGUUUCUUUCCAAAAAAAAAAUAAUAAUAAAAAGAAUUUCUAAAUAGGCCCAAAUGGUAGAAAAUUUAGAAAUUCUGAAAAGAAAAAUAUUUCUAAAUUGACCCAAAUGGUAGAAAAUUUAGAAAUAAAAAAAUAAUAAACAAAUUUCUAAAUAGGCGCCAAAUGGUAGAGAAUUUAGAAAUUCAAAAGAGAAAAUAUUUCUAAUUUAGCCCAAAUGGUAGAAUAGUUAGAUAUAUUUUCGAUAAACAAAAAUCAUAAUAAUGAUAAAUAAAACUUUUUUCGAUUGCAGAGUCUCUUUAAGAAAAUAAAUAAGAUUAUUGAAUACUCUUGAGAUAAAAAAAUAUUUUAAGGAAUUCUCCCAGAUUGAUGGAAGAAUCUUAUAAAUUAUUUCCAGUAUUUCAACAUAAAAAUUUGAAACCAUUAGACUCAAGACCUAAAGAUAAAUUUAAAAUAAUAUGGUACGAUCCUUUAGAUGGGCAUGUGGGGUUGCUAUAACCUUGUCCACAUGUAACCGAACUUUCGAACCCUAUUCUGGUUUAUAGACCUGAACCUAUUCUUUUAGGGACCCUUAGUCAAGCUUAGGAGCUCCUUAAAAGGAUAGAUUCCAUAGGUGACCGAUCACACCUAGAUAAAAAAUAUUGGUGGCAACUCCAUUUGUUAAAUCUAGCUAUAGAUUUACAAAUCUAUAUGUUAUGACAGUUUGACAACUUUACUGGGGAUACUGUAGAGAGUCAAGCCAUAAACUUUUAAAUUUAUCCUAUCCUUUGGUCUAAUGGUUUUAAAUUGUGAUGAUUUGUGUUAUUUGUUUACUAACAUUUUUUCCUUUUGUGUUUUGUAUUUUAUGUUUGGGGCAUGAAACCUAUAUAUUCCUUUACACACACUAUCACAUGCAUUUGCAUUACAUGAGCUCUAUACCUAGGCUCCAUCCGUCUUAAGAGAGAGUAAAGUACCUAUGCUCUCGUGAGAUAAUUUUCGCAAUGGCUAGCAAAAUACUCCCACUUAAAUUGAAUCCUUUUUGUUGGUAGCCUGUGAUGGGUGAGGUUUUGAAUGCCUUAUUAGUUUGUGAUGAACUAUAAUGUAAGGAACAAUUUGAAAACUGUUAGUGAUCAAACUCACCUAACCCUGUAUAUAGUGUACACUUAAAAUGCUAGCCUUAAGAUAGAGCCCUUUCUACCCAUUGAUAGAUGUAACCUAAAACUAGGACACAAGAAGGAACAACUUGUAUAUUGCUUAUCCAACCAUUUUGUUUGUUUAACUUUGUGUAUCUGUAUUAUCAUAUCAUGCAUAAUUUUCAUUGUCACAUAUAACAUCAUGCAUCUGCAUUAUUUUCAUAUUAGAUUUCAUCCAUGAAAAUGUACAUUUCAUUCAUGCAUUAACACUAAACAUAAAGUAUAGCAUUUUUAAUAACAUAAUUGUGGUGUUCAAGGUUCAAGGAUGGCUUUAGCAAGCAAUAACCCAACUCACCAAUACAACACAAGAGCUCGAGCCAAACAAAUAGAACAAAAAAAUUCCAAUCGUCUCAAGAGGAUAGAGAAAGCUCAAGAGAAACUUGAAGGGGAAUUAAGUAAGAUCCUUGAUGGUUUAAACAAAUUAAACAAGGGAAAGGGUAUUGAAAAAGGUACUAGCCAAUAAGAACAUCCAUCAUAAAAGGUGACUGACCCUAUGUAUCCUUUUGGUUUUAGGCCUCAUCAAGCCCAGUCUACUCAAGAUCCAUUACCACAGUAGUUCAUAUAUCUAGUAGGGUAUACAUACCAUGGAAUGCCAUCAGCGUCAAACUUGAGGCAGUACCAGAGUUAUGUAAAUCUUGUCUUUACUGAAAAAAACAGUGGAACCAAUACUAAUCCCUAAUUUAGAUGAUCCAGAAGAGAAAAAAAAUUGAAGCCCAAAGAGAAAGAGACUGUAGAAGCCUAAAAAGCUGAACAGAAGAUGAACUUGUUAGAGGAAAGGUUACAAGCCGUAGAGGGCAUUGGUUUUUAUGGUUUAGUGGAUACUGUUAGGCUCUAUUUAGUCUCGGAUGUUGUUAUUCCUCCUAAGUUCAAAGUGUCAGAGUUUAAGAAAUAUGAUGGUACAAAGUGUCCAAAAAUUGACAUUACAAUUUAUUGUCGGAAGAAGGUAGCUCAUGCUCAUAUGAGAAGUUAUUAAUGCAUGUAUUUCAAGAUAACGUCACGGGCUCUAUUGUUAGGUAGUAUAUCCAGUUGGAUAAGACCUAUAUUCGCUCUUAGAGUGAUAUGGCCCAUGACUUCAUUAAUCAAUAUCGGUAUAUCAUAGACUUAGCCCUAGAUCACCUUUUUUUACAAAAUAUGGAAAAAAAAGCAAUUGAAUCAUUUGAAGAGUAUGCCCAGAGGUGGAGGGAUAUUGCUUCUCAAGUGCAACCCCCUUUGACUGAAAAAAAAUCAUGGUGUUGUUUGUCAACACUUUAAAAUCUCUCUAUUAUAAAAAGAUGAUAGGGAAUGCCAUAAAGAGUUUCGUCGACAUGGUCAUCUCAGGCAAAAUCAUUGAGAAUGCCAUUAAAAAUGGUAAGUUGAAAGAAGGAGAAACCAAGAAAGUACCAUAGAGGACAGAGACUAAAACUUAAGUCGUGAGUUUUGACAGACAGUUCAUGGGUUAUCAACCUUAUCCGCCACAAAGUUUCUCUCCAUACUAUCUUGCUAUGAACAAUACCUUAUCCUACCCAUACCAAUCAGCCCCAUUGCCAUCUUAUCCAUUAACAUACUAGCCUAUUUUCAGCCUUCAAGCUCCCACAUACAGCCUUAAUAUUCAACCUCCUACAAAACCCUAAAUUUAUCUUGCUAGCUCAGUAAGUGGUUCAUGAGAGCAACAAAUUACUUGAGAAAAAUUAAUAUUUGAUCCAAUCCCUAUGACUUAUAUGGAGUUAUACCAAGAGCUCUACAAUAACAACUUGAUUGCCCCCAGCCAUGUGAAGUUGUUUAAGCCACCCUAUCUCAAGUGAUAUGAUUCUACAGCUUAUUAUGAGUACCAUUAUGGAAUUGCUGGCCAUUUCACAAAGAAUUGCAUUGUUCUAAAGCAUAAGGUGCAAUGAUUGAUCAAAGAUGAAAUGAUAAACUUUGAUCAAGAAAGUAACAACACCUAAUGUUAGUGGCAAUCCAUUGCUCAAUUAUAAUGUCAAUGCUCUGAGUGAGAAUCAAGAACAUGUUGAUCCAAAAAGGCCUAAAGAGCUGCAAUGAAUCAGGGAGCCAGACGUUAAGAAAAAUCCUUCACUUGAUUAUAUGGGGGAAUAAAUUUUGGAAAGAAAAAAAUAUGUUAAGGUUGGUUGGAAGCUGCUUGCCAUUUUAGGAUUUCUUUUAGAGUAAUGUUAGGAUUUCUUUUAUGCAACAGGAUUUCACUUGUUAUCAUUUUAAUAAAAGACAAGUUGAUGCAUUUCAUUACAUUUUCUUUUUCAUCCAAGUAAUUAUUCCAUGCUUUGCUAUUUGUCACGUCUUUUUAUUCCCAUUUUUAAAUUCCAAAUAAUGAAUGUUUAGACAAUAACAAAAAUAAUUUUGAGAUUUAAUUUUGAGAACUCAUUCACAUUAAUUUGAGGAGAUUAUUUAAGUAAAAGAAACAAGCUGCUGGCAGAUGUGAAAUAGAUAUAUCUUAAAGAUGUGCAUAGAUCCAUGAGCUUGUUUUUGUUUAAUAGAUGAUAUUCAAAGAAAGUAUUCACAUUUGAGAUAAAAAAUGGCCAUCUUUCUUUUACCAUUUGAAAAACCAUUCAUUAUUAUCCCUUUGAGCCUAUUAUGAUUUUUUUUUCUAAAAAACCCAACCAAGGAUCACCCUCUACACUUGGGGUAAUUUCUAAAAAAAAAAAAGAGGCAAAAGUUCGCAAAAGGUCUCAAAGGUAGAAAAGAAAAAAGCAAAAAGAAAGAAAAGCCAAGCAGAAAAAAAAAAAGAAAAAUGAAUGCCACGCAUGAUUUAGGGUAAAAUAGUGAGAGUUUUUAUGUGAAUAAUAAGAUGAAAGAAAGAAAAAAUAGUGAAAUGAAAGAGAAAGGGGCAAAAUGCCAAGUUGUUUUAAAUGAUGAAAAAUGAUCUUUUGGUUUUGAAACCUUUAAACACAUGUUUUGAGCCUAUUUUAUCCAUUUCUUUUAUGAUCCCUCAUCAUAGCCUACAUUACAAUCUUUAAAAAGUCUAUUUAGAUCAAAUGUGAAUGCUCGAAUUGAAUGAUCAUUAGGCUAAGGCAUGUUUAUGAUAGGGCAAUGGAAUGUGUUUUAGAGACUGAUGUGUGAAAGAUAUCACUAAUGGAUGAAAAAAUGAAAAACAAAGAAAAAAAAUAAAAAUGAGAGAAAAAAAAUAAAAAAAGGGAAAAAAAGAAAAAAAAGAGAAAAAAUGGGAAAAAAAAGAAAAAGAGAAAAAAUGAGGAAAAAAAAAAAUGAAGACUCAAUUUGAAAACCCGAAAGGCUGAUUUAGCUAGAGAAAUCUGAGCUAAGAGUUGGAUAAAUGGUUUAUACGGAUGAGAGAUCAAAGACAUCUAAAGAUCUCUCAAAAUAGGGGCAAAGUUCAAUGAGCUCAAAAUGAUUUUGAAAAGUUAGUGGAAUAAGUUUUUGAAAAAAUUCUAGAUUAGUGUUAAGAAUUGUUUGAGUGUUCAUUGUUUGGAUCUUGUCAUAUUAUUCAAUACCAUCCCAAUUGAUAUACUUUGAAUUUAUUCCUUUAUUUAUUUUUUUAUUCCAGACUCACUUUUCAUUGAUCACUUUUCGUCCAAUUCACAUUGUGCUCUCUUAUUCUAGCAUUCUUAGAAUAAAUCAAGAAUGUGUGGUUGCAUUAUAAUUGUCAAAAAUUGAAAUGAUGAUGAAUGAAUGACAAUGUGCAUAAAAAAUUCUUGCAUUCUUUUGAAAAGAAAUCCAGGAUGAUAAGGGGCACAAAAAAUAAAGAGUGCAAAAACUUGAAAAGAAUAUUUGAUGAAUAUGGUAAUGGAUUGGUCAACAAAUGAAGAGAGGGCAAAAAUCUGAAAAGAAAAUGAUCAAGAAAUGAAUAUGGUGAUGGAUUAAUCAACAUAACUUAUGAAUUGUGGUUAAAUGAUGGAAAUAUGUGGAUCUGAGGACAUAAUUAAUUUUGAAAUGGCUAAUACUGAGAACCCUAUAAAUUGUGGUGAAAAUAAUGUGGAUCAUAGGAUAAAAUUUAUUUUGAAAUUGCUAGAGCUGAAAGGUUGUGAGUUAUGGUUAAAUAAUGAAAUAAUGAGGAUCUAUAGAUGAAAUUCAUUCUUGAAUGGCUAGUGUUUAGAAGCCUGUGAAUGGUGAUCAAGUGAUGAACACAAUGUAGAUUAAUUGAUAGAAUUUAUUUUGAAAUUGCUAGUGCUGAAAAGUCUGUGAGUUAUGAUUAAAUGAUAUGGAGCAAUGAACGAAAUUUAUUUUGAAAUUGCUAGUGCUGAAAGACCUAUGAAUUGCAAUCAAGUAUCAAUUGACGAAACAUGUUCUAAAUGGUUAGUGCUGAAAAUUGAAAAAAAAAAGAUAAGGGAUGGUGGAGUCUUUAGAACCAUAUUACCACAAUUAAUUAGAAUUUCAUGACAUGGACAUUCACAUUACAUGCAUUACGUUGCAUUGUUGUAAACAUUUGAAUCAUGAUUAAGAAUAUGGCAUUAUGAGAAUCUAGAUUAUUGCAUUUGCAUCAUUGAUCAUGACAUUCAGUACAUAUAAAAUUUUGAAUUUGGUAAAAGUUUGAAAGUCAUCUAGAAAAUAAAUUUUGAAUAUUUUGAUGAAGUCCUAAGUCUUCAAAUAAGCACCUUUGAGUUUUAAAUGAGAAUUUUUAAGACAUUUUCUAAUGAGAACCUUUGAAUAUUAAAUGAGAAUGUUUAAGACAUUUUUAAAUGAGAAUCUUUGAGUCUUAAAUGAGAAUCUUUAAGAUGUUUUUAAAUGAUAAUCUUUAAGACGUUUUCAAAUGAGAAUCAUUGAGUCUUAAAUGAGAAUCUUUAAGAUGUUUUCAAAUGAGAAUCCUUGAGUCUUAAAUGAGAAUCUUUGAGUCUUCAAAAGAGAAUCUUUGAGUUUCAAAUAAGAAUCUUUGAGAUGUGAAACCCUAAAAGUUUGUCGAAUAUGAAUCUUUAAACUACAAUGAAAAGCUUUAAACUUUUGGAUGUGACUCUCCAAAAUUCAAAAGAAAAGCUUAAAACUUUUUAGGUAUGAAUCCUAAAUUUAGGUAAACCUUUGAAUUUGAAUGAGAAGCUACAAACAUUUGAUUGAGAAUCUCUAAAAUUCGAAUGAGAAUCUUUAAAUGUUAGGUGCGAGUCUUGCAAUUUGCAAAUGUGAAUAUUGAAAUCUUACAAAUCUGAAUUCUUGCAUAUCUGUAAUUUUGUGAAUCGAAUUCUUAUGAGACUGAAAUUUUGAGAAUCAAAUUUCAAUGAAUUCUUGUGAAGCUGAAAGGUUUUUACAAAUUUAAACCUUUGAAUUUUGAACUCAAAUUGUGAAUAUUUGAGUUUUCAUUUCAUUAGACUUAAUCUAUGACUCUUCUAGAUGUGAUUGUCGAAGAGCCUCUUUUUCUUAAGUUAUUGAGCCUCUGUUUUGAGGAACCUUUUAUUUUUCAAAGUUGUUGAGCCACUAUUUCGCGGAGUCUUUAUUUUUCAAAAUUGUUGAGCUUUUGUUUAGAAGAGCAUUAUUUUCCAAAGUUGUUGAGCCUUUGGUUAGAGGAGCGUUAUUUUUUUCAAAGUCGUUGAGCCUCUAUUUAGAGAAGCUUUGUUUACUUUUUCAAAAAAAAAAAAAGAUGCAUUUGUUAGGGUAAUCAUAUGUGAGGUGUCUAUGUCUUUGCACAAUUCUUAUUGCAUAGGAAAAGCACAAAGAGGGGCAAUUGUAGACACCUAAUUUGGUCCAAGUCUGGAUCAAUUGGGCCUAGUCCGAUAGGGUCAAUAAUUUAUUGAUUUUUUUUAUUAUCAUUUUAAAUUUUACAUUGAUUAUUUAUUUAUUUAUUUAUUAUUAUUAUUAUUAUUAUUAUUAUUAUUAUUAUUAUUUUAUGAGAUAAUGAUGGUGAAAAAAAGAAAGAAAGAAAAAAGCAAAGAAUCUUACCGUGAAUGGAGUUGGAUAGAAUCAUAAUUGAACUUAAUUCUUAUAGGAUAAGUCUAAUGGUUUUAUGAUAAUGCAAAAUUCUGAUCAAGGGAGGACUUAGAAUUGAUCAAAAACUCUUCUGAUCACAGCUUAUAAAUACCCACAUUGAUCAAAGGCAAGGAACACAGAAAAAACACACAAAAACAUAAAUAAAAAAAUCACAAGUAGAAAGCAAUCAGAAAGUUUUUCGAAGAUUUUUGGGUUUAGGGGAAAAAAGGAAUUUUUUUGAAAAAAUCUAGAAAAUUUCCAGUUUUUGGUGAAUUUUCCAACAUCCGUUGAAUUUUUCAGUACUUUUUCGAUGUUGGUUGAAUUUUCUAGUGAGGGUUUCUAGAAUCUAGUGGAGCUUCCAACAAAGUUUGAAUUUUUCGAUGAUCAUCCAAUGAACCAACCUAGAUUUCAAUGGCAUUUUCCAGAAUCUGGUUGAUAUUCAAUAGAAGAAAAGGGCUGGGAGCUACCUUUUAUACAAGGCCUAAAAUGAUGCCAUUUUUGCCUUAAGAAGACCUCAGGAUCUACGUGUUUUUAUUAGGAUAAUCCGAUCGGACCGUAACUUGCUUCGCCAACCCGUGCCCCAAUCUAGCCGAGCCGAGCCGAGCCGAGCUCUUGAGCUGAGUCGUCGAGUCAUUUUCUAUGUCUGAAGUCGAGCCGUGUUGAGUCACAUUGAGUCAUUCAGCUGAGCCGUUUCAUUUUUUUUUGGUAUUUUUUAUUUUAUUUAUGUGUUUAUGUUUUAGUAUUUUUGUAUAAUUAAAUUUAGGAAAAAAUAAAAAAAUUAAAAAAAUAAUAAAUUUUGGGAAUAAAUAUUAAUUAUCCAUUGAUGGAAUUUAUAGAAAUUUCAAAUGGUAAAUUUCUAUAAAAUUCUUAGGUGAGAAAUUUUGUCUAAAUUUGUCCCAAAUGAUGGAAUAAUUUAGAUAAAAUUUCAAUAACAAUAAUUAAUAUUAUUUUCAAUCAAAAAAAUAAAAAAAUAAAAAAUUUUGAUUGAAAAUAUUUGAUAAUUAUCCAAGGAUGAGAAUCUUAGAAAUUUCAAAUGGUAAAUUUUCUAAGAAAUCUCUAGGUGAGAAAUUUCUUUAAAUUUCUCCAAACGGUGUAAUAAUUUAAAUGAAAUUUUCAUAAAAAUAAUUGUCAUAUUAUUUUUUUUUCUAAAAAAAGUAAAUAAAAAGAAUUUCUAAAUAGGCCCAAAUGAUGGAAAAUUAGAAAUUCCGAAAAAGAAAUAUUUCUAAAUUGACCCAAAUGGUGAAAAAUUUAGAAAUAAAAAAAAUAAUAAAAAGAAUUUCUAAAUAUGCCCCAAAUAGUGAAGAAUUUAGAAAUUUAAAAAGAGAAAAUAUUUCGAAUUUGGCCUAAAUGGUGGAAUAGUUAGAUAUAUUUUCGGCAAACAAAAAUUAGAAUAAUGAUAAAUAAACAUUUUUUCGACGACGAAAUCUCUUCAAGGAAACAAAUGAGAUCUUUGAAUACUCUUGAGGUGAUGAAAUAUUUUUAAGAAUUCUACCAGAUCGAUGGAACAAUCUUAUAAAUUAUUUUCAAUAUUUUAACAUAAAUAUUUGAAACUAUUAGACGCAAGAUCUAAGGAUAAAUUUAAAAUAAUAUGGUACUAUCUUUGGAUGGGCAUGUGGGGGUGCUAUAACCUUCUCCACAUGUAACCGAACUCCCAAACCCUAUUCUAAUUUGUAGACCCGAACCUAUUCUUUUAGGGACCUUUAGUCAAGCUUAGGAGCUCCUUAAAAGAAUAAAUUCUUUAGGUGGCCAAUCACAUCUAGAUAAAAAAGAUUGGUGGCAACUCUAUUUGUUAAAUCUAACUAUAGAUUUACGAAUCUAUAUAUUAUGACAGUUACCAUUUUAGGUGUUUAAUGAAAUGUCUACUAGAAAUUUAAUCUUUUCAUUUUCUGUUUUAAAUUUUUGAUUAGGAUAAAUUUUUAAAUCUGGACGCAAUAAUUAAAUGAUACAUUUUAGGUCAUUUUCAUGUUUAAAUCAUGUGAAUUUAGGGUCUUGCAUGGUGGGGUAAUGUCUAUGUCCAACGAGGGUUUAUUUAUAAAAUGUUUGACUUUGCAUUUUUGUCUUUUUGCUAGGUUUUAGGGACUAAUUUUUACUACUGUUCUAGGUUCUGUUCCAGCCCCUAAACUUGCUAAAUUUGAUCUUUAAUUUGUGCCUUUAACUUGACUUUACACUUAUGUUUGCAUGUGUGCUUGUUUGUUAGUCAAAUUAAGCUUCAUUUACAUGUUUAUUUGGUUUUAAUUGUUGUUAAUUUGCAUGAUAAUUUAGAUUUAUAAUUUCAUGUAUUUGUGUUUAUGCCAUAGCCCAAAUACCAUUUAGUUCAUUUAGGAUUUUAAUUCCAUGCCAUUUACCUUUGUGUUCAUAAAUUUAAAUGUCAUUUAUGGUUUAGGUUAAUAUUUAGGGUAAAUUGCAAUUUUAUUUCUUUUUGUUCAAUUUAAUUUCAUAUUGUGCAUGAUUAAUUAUUGUAUUUUACUUUUAUAAUUUCUAUGCUUUAAUUUAAAACCUUUUUAGUUCGGUUUUAGAUACUUUCUUUUUUAGCAAUUUUUUAUUUUAGGUAACUUUCCACUUUCAGUAAGUUUUAGGGUAAAUUUAGGAUUUUUUUUCAUAAUUUGUUAGUAAUUAGUAAGGGUGAAUAGAUAUCAAUUCAAAUAGAUUUAAUCGACCGAAACCGAUGAAAUAUGGUCAUUUUGAUUCGGUCUAGUUGAUUUUCGAUUAUAGUUGAUUUUGGGAUCAGUUAAAUUGAUCAAAUCGAUUGGUUAUCAAUUUUCAAAAUUGAUAACCGAAUUAAUUGAAUUAACCGAUCUUAUAAUAACUAAAGGUAAAUAUGUAUAUUUCCCUAAAAAAAACCCUAAACUUAACUCAUUUUUUCUAAGUGUGUUUAUGAAAAAUGCCUUUAAUAAUCUCUUACAAAAAAUUGAAUAAGGUUAUUCAAGGCAUUUCUGACUAAAAGCACCUUGAAUAAUCCUAAAAAAUUUUUAUGAGAGGAUUAUUAAAGGUGUUUUUGGCUAGAAACACUUUGAAUAACCUCCAUUAAAUUUUUUGUAAGGGAAACACCUUCAAUAAUCUCCUACCAUUUUUUUGGAUUAUUCAAGGUAUUUUUUGCCAGAAAUGCCAUGAAUAAUCCUUUACAAAAAAUUGAAUGGGGUUAUUCAAUGCGUUUCUAGCCAAAAACGCUUUCAAUAAUCUCCUGCCAUUUUUUUUGGGAUUAUUCAAGAUGUUUUUAGUUAAAAAUGCCUUAAAUAAUCCCUUAAUAAAAAUUUUUGAGGAUUUUUUAAUGCAUCUUUUAUAAGAAAUGCCUUCAAUAACCCCAUUAAAUUUUUUGUAAAAGAUUAUUCAAUACGUUUCUGGCCAAAAACACAUUCAAUAAUCCCCUCAUAAAAUUUUUUUAAGAUUAUUUAAGGUGUUUUUGGCAAAAAAUGCCUUGAAUAACCCCAUUCAAUUUUUUGUAAAAGAUUAUUCAAGGCGUUUCUAGCCAAAAAUGCAUUGAAUAAUAAAAAAAAUGGCAGGCAACUAUUAAAUGUAUUUUUAGCCAAAAAUGCCUUCAAUAAUUCCCUACAAAAAAUUGAAUAGAGGUUAUUCAAGGUAUUUCUAGCUAAAAUUUUUUGGAAAUUAUUCAAAGCGUUUUUAGCCAGAAAUGCCUUAAAUAACUUUAUUUAAUUUUUUGUAAGGGAUUAUUGAAGACGUUUUUCAUGCCAAAAUACUUUUUAAAACUUAUUGUUUAAUUUAUUUUGAUUAAACAAGUUUAGAUGAGUAUUUAUUUGUCUUUUUUCUUGUAAAAUAUUGUUGAAAUUAUUAAAUUCUUUAGUGAUUUAGUUUGAAUGAUAUGUGAAUUUAAGUUUUAUUGGAUUAAAUUUGAAACUAAAUAAUUAUUCAAAAUAAGCAAAAAAAUGAUGAAAAAUUCAAUUAUUUAACCGAACUGACUGAAUUGAACCGAUUUUUGGUCAAUUAAGUUAAGACGGUUAUUUAAAAUUUUGUUGGUUGGUUCGGUUACUUGUAAAAUAAAAGUUGAUUAAUUUGAUUAUUAAUUUUUUCAUAUCAAGCCAACUGAACUGACUAGCUGUUCACCCCUAGUAAUUAGGGUUGAAGUUUCAUUUAGUAUAAUUUUUAGGUUUAAUUAGUUGUUCAUGUCAAUUUAAUUUAAUUAAUUUAGUUUAAUUAAACAAAAUUUUCCCUCAAUCCAAAUACAACCUAGAUGUCCAAUAUUAGUAAUUUACCAAAGACUAGAAUCCAAUUCCUAAGGAAAUGAUAACUCGGAAUACUUUCAAUUUAUAUUACUUGUGUAGCUGUACACUUGCAAUAUUCUUACAUGGUCAACAUCAAGUUUUUGGUAUUGUUGCCGGGGAUUGGCACACUUAGUUUAGGGUUAAUAUUGAUAUUAGACAUACUAAGAUGUAGUUUGGGUCACUUUUUCUUGUAGAUAAUUGUAAAAAUGUUUUUAGAUUUCUUUUUUUGGAUUUUGUGAUCUACGAAUCUAUGGUUGGUCCAUGCAUAGGAGUAGAAGCCUUGAUCUGAUCCCCCUAAACCCAGAAAUAGAAAGAACACUUUAAAAAAUUAAGAGGAAAAGAUGAAAGAACCUUGUUACAGCUAAAACCAUAGCUGAUCCCAUUUAUAACAGAACCUUAUAGGAUUAUGUUGUGCCCAAUGUUGAUGGUUUUUAGUAAGUAUAAAAAGGCUAGCAAUCUAAGCAAACAAUUUUGAAAUCAAGCCCACCAUAAUCCAAAUGAUCUAGACCUUAGUACAAUUUGAUGGCCUUGCUAGCGAAGACUCGAAUGCGUAUUUAAGGAACUUUUUAGAAAAUACACACAUUCAAGCACAAUGGUGUCUCUGAUGAUGCCAUUAGACUUAGGUUGUUCCCUUUCUCUCUCCGUGAUCAAGCUAAGACCUAGCCCAUUUCAAUGACCCCUGGAUCGAUCACUACUUGGGAUGAUCUUGUCCAAAAUUUUUUGCAAAAGUUAUUUCCACCUACAAAGACCAUAAAGCUAUUCAAUGACAUCACUACUUUCACUCAAUAUGAUUUUGAGGCUCUUUAUGAAGCUUGGGAUCGAUAUAAGGAAUUGCUUAGGAGUUGUCCUUGUCAUGGCUAAGGGUUCAGACCUUCUAUAAUGGACUCUUAGGACAUAAUAGGAUAGUUAUAGACAUUGCAACUGGUGGUGCCCCCAUGGGUAAGUCUGUGGAUGAUGCCUAAGAGCUCAUCAAGGACAUGGUUGCCAACCAUUAUCGGUGGUCAUCUGAAAGACAAAACCUUAAGAAGGCUAUCAGAGUAUACGAGUUAGAUGCUCUAGUGCUAUUAUUGCUCAAAUAGCUAGUUUAGCAAAAAAAGUAGAGGCCUCGGGAUCCAGUUCUGUUCCUAUUCCUACUCUUGUUUGUAGCCCUAUCUAGUCCAUAUAGAGCCUAUUUUUCAGUUGUGAUAUGUGUGGAGGUGGCCAUUCAAAAGAUCAUUGCCCUAUAAGGAUAAAGUCUGUCCACUGAAUUACUUAGCCUAAUAGGCAACAAAACAAUCCCUACUCUAACACUUACAAUUCGAGCUAGAAGAAUCACCUAAAUUUUUCAUGGGCUAACAAUCAAGUUCAGUGCUCUAAUUCUAAACCCAGCACCCUCUUGGUUCUUCUCACCUUUUAGUUCUAUAGUAUCACCCACCACCACCUCCAUAAAGAAAGAAAAAUUCCUUUAAAGAGAUGUUUUUUUCCAUCUUUCAAAACCAAAACAACAUGCUGCUAAAUCAGGCUAACCUUAUCCAAGGGCAAGUUGUAACCCUUCAAAGUCAGGCAACUGUCAUAAAAUACUUAAAGGUGCAAUAAAGGUAGAUGGCUAGUGCCCUUAAUAGUUGCCUUUAGGGUAGCCUUCCAACAACACUGAAAUCAAUCCAUGAAGGGAAGGAAAAGAACAUAACAAGGUCAUUACCUUUAGAGUUGUAGAUAGUUAGCUAAUAACAUUGUAAACCCUAUAUCUUCUAGUUCUUUAACCAACCUGUUAUUGAUAAACGAGAGCUAAGAACGGAAAAACAGUUAAAGGAAAAAGAAAAUGAUAAGGUGGUUGGUGUAAGUCCUUAGUCAGCUCAAGCAGGUUACCCAUUUAGAGCUAUAAUCAGUAAGCUCAAGUCGUAUAGACCUCCCAUACCUUUUCCACAAAGAUUUCAAAAGUAAAAGAAUGAGUAGUAGUUUGCUAAAUUCCUAGAGAUAUAAAGAAAUUGCAUAUUAACAUCCCCUUUGUGGAUGUGCUAGAGUAGAUGCCUAGCUAUGCAAAAUUUAUGAAGAAGAUAUUUUCAAAAGAGGAGGUGGGAAGAUUAUGAGACCAUUGCACAUACUGAGGAGUGUAGUGCUAUCAUUCAGAGAAGCAUUCCUCCUAAGCUUAAGGACCCUAGUAGCUUUACCAUACCUUGCACCGUAGGUAAUCUUUUAUUUCAUAGGUCAUUUUGUGACUUAGGUGUUCGCAUAAAAAAUAAAUAUCUCCUUUUAUAUUAGUUAAAAAAAAAAGGUUUGUAAAAUAAGAUAGAAUGAAAAAACAAAGAAUAAUUAAUACUUUAAAUUAUAGAAAAUCAUAAAUUAAAUUGAUUAAAAUAUUAUUUUUUAUUAUAUAUAUAGCUUUUAUUUACUAAUCAAUUUUAUUAAUCAAUUUCAUUCCACCAACAAAAAUGAGUGUUCCAAAUUUUGCAAGCUUAUGUAUAAUGCGAAUGUUUCGUAACUUGUUUAUGAUUGACAUAAUAUGAUAAUAUCACAACAUAAAUUUAUAUAAAAAAUAAAUUUCAUUAAUAAUCUAAAGUUUAAUGCCUUGAAUAUAUUAAGUAUGAAAUAUUACAUCUAUUUACAUAAGAAAAUAAAAUUUACCAUAAUAAUAAGAUACUAAAAAAAGGAAUACUAACGGAAUGUAGGUUUGAGAAUCUCAUUAAAACAUUUUUAAAAGAUAUAAAAAUAAAAAACCAAAAAACCUUUUUGAAUAAUUUUACCAUGCAUACAUAUGAUGUAUGUUGUUGUGAAAACCUACUCCCUUACCAACUAAAUGAAAAACAUAACCAUUGAACCUUUUUCAUUCAACAACAAUUUCAAGUGGAAUCUAAUAUAUAUAUAUAUAUAUGUAUGUAUGUACAUUACAACAUACAAGGUUUUUUAAUAAGAUCUACUUAUUUGUAAUCUUAUGUGUAUAACUUAUUUUGAUGACAAUUAAGAUAGUUUUGAAUAUUAAAAAAACAAGAAAUUCUUAAAGGUUACAUGUAGACUUUAUGUAAGAUUUUUGAAAUUGACAAUUCUCAAACUUUUGAGACUUUGAUAUUUUGGAUCUUUCAAAAAGAUCUAACUUAUCUCUGUUCAACAUCCACCUCAUUUCCAAAAAAGGAUAAUGGUCAAAAUAAAAAAUUAGACAAUAAAUAAGGAUCAAAAGGUUCAUGGAUUUCAUGGUUAUUUUUUCAAGAGAAGCGUUUCAAUUUUUAAGUAUCCAUGCUUGAUCCAAUAAAGACUUUUGAUAAGAUGUAACAUAGGCCAAGGUUCAAGAUUUUCAAAGAAAAAGAUAAAUAAGCCCAAAAUAAAUGUUUAAGGGUAAUUAAAACCAAGGAUCAUUCUUUCAUUUGAAAGAUUCACUUUAGGGUAUAUUCCCUUUCAUUUUCUUGUACUUUCCACCCAUUCAUUUCAUUUAUUUUUUCCUUUCUUUUCUUUUGUUUCUUUUCUUUUAUUCUUUCACAUUUUCCUUUUCUUUCUUUUCCUUUACACCUUUUCUUUUUCAUUCUUUUACUUCUACUUUUCUUUUUUUUUUUUGAGUGAAUCCAAAACUUUCGGGAACUUUUACAUUGGGCCUUUAUCCCAACAUAUGGGAUUUUAUUUGGAUAUCACUUUUUUUAAAACCCUAAAUGCAUCCCUUUUUAUCUCCCAAUGUAGAAGGUGAUCUUUAGUUAAGGUUUAUUUUUGAAAGAAUUUUAUUAAGCUCAAAAGGGUAGUAAAGGAUAAAUUUUCACUUUUAUAAAAAAAUGAUGAAAGACGACCAUUUGUCAUUUUAAGCAUGAUCACUUAAAUUGAAGAGCAGUUCCCUUUAGGAAAAUGAACUUGAAGAAAGGUUUUUCAUUGUAGAAUGUUUUUUUUUUUUUGGAUUAUUGGCUUUCUUAACUUUUCUUUUGGUUUUUUCCAUUUUGGGCCUUUAGUGUUUUUUUUGUUUCUUCUCCAUAAUUUUGGAUUUGUCAGGUCUUUAUUUGAAUUUAUUCAAAUUUCUUAAGUGUAUAAUGUCAUAACCAUUUUCUUUGUCCUUUUUCUUUUUUUUCUUCUUUUUUUUGUGCCCUUAUAAUUCAUACAUAAAUUCACCUUGUCAGUGAAAGUUAUUACAAGAAAAAAGAGUUUUGUGGAAUGAAUGAGAAAAAGGAUCAUAUAGAAUAAACCUAGUUAAGGUAUCAAAAUGGUUCGUAUCACUUUACUAAAAAGAGAAUGAAUGGGUUGAUCAUAGCUCAAACUAUCUUAAGGGCCAUGAAGUUUUUUUUCUCUAAUCAACAUGCCCCUCAGACACAUGGGCCAGGCCAAUUUUGGGGUAAAUAGCUAAAAUGUUGGUAAGUCUGAGGUUAUUUUAUAAGACAUAGGGUGACUCUAAUUUUGAAAUUUUUUAGAGCUACAGCAUAAUAUUGACACAUCAAAUUAUUACAUAUGAAUUCUUAAAAAAAUGUCAUGUUUGUCUGAUCUUCUUGGAAUCCAAAUUUUCUUCAAAUUGGUUGUUUCAUUAUUCUUUGCCUUGAAAAAGAAUAUCACCCUUUGAUAUCAUAUAUUACCAAGCAAAAGCAAGGUUUAUGAAUUUAAAUUUAUAGCUUUUGAGGGCUCAUGGAUGAUGAAAUGGAGUCAACUAGAUGACUUAAAAAAUGGAUUUAGUUAUUUGAAAAUUUCCUAAUAAUGACCACCAACUCUUCCAAAACUUAAAACUUUCUUUUUUCCAUUUUUUUUAAUCUUUUUUCUUCUUUUUUUUUUCACUUUUUUUCCUUUUUUUUCUUUAAGGCAUUUCUCUUUCUAUAGCCUUGGUAUUUAACUAUGUGGGGCUUUAUCCAAAUCUACCAUUUUCCCCCUUUUACCAUUUUCUUUUAAAAAAAACCUACAAGUCCAAAAUUAAAAAGAAAUUGAAAACAUCAAAUGAUAAUAUAAAUCCAUGAAACACUUAUAAUACACAAGAUCUAUUCAUGUAAUGCAAACACUCAAACCUGACCUAAAAAUUCAUGUUUCAAAUGGUAUUCUUGAGAUGAAACUCAAACUUAUUUAAACAAAAGUUUCCCACUUGACAUUUCAACUUUAACAUUAUUGACCCUUGACUCCACCACUAUCAAUAAUCAAAACCACUAAUUAGUUUUUUAAAUUUUACGGGAUCUAUAUCGAUCAAAGCUUGAACUGUAUCCUUGAAGGCAAUACAAUCUUUUAUAGAAUGCUUUUUGACCUUAUCAUGAAAUUCACACUUAGCAUUGGGAUCAUACCACUUCAGGUAGGGAGACUUUUUGGGUCUUGCAGGAACAAUAGCAAUCAUAUGAUUUUUGACAAGUAAGGUGAAAAGUAUAAUAUAAGACAUUAAGAAUGAAUGAUACAUUUUGACUCUUUUUCUAUUAUGGAUUUGUGAAUGGCUUGGGUUGAUCUUUUGUUUUAUGAAUGUUAGUGACGAAGGAAUUGGAACACAAGGAUGAGGUAGAGAAUUAUAGUCCUGAGAUGUCGGUUGGGAACAAUACGAUGAUCAUUAGGAAAUAGUCAUUUGUUAACUCUUCUUGUAUCAUGGUGAUGUUUCUCUCAUUUCACCUUUCAAUAAUUCCAUUUUAGGCAUAUUUAUUGAAAAUACUCCCUUGUCUUUCAUUAUGAAUUUCCACAUUAGCACCUAUAAUUCUUCUCUUUUUAUCCUAUCCUUAAUUCGACCUACACCAAAUAACAAAUCAGUAAAUUCUGAAAAUGUAUUACCAAUCAAUUUAUCGUAAUAAAGAGAAAAAAAGGUUUCCAUAAAUAGAAAAUUCAACUCUUUAUUAGUUACAAGUGGUUGAACUUGUGAUGCAAACUUUUUCCAUCUAGCGGCAUAUUCUUUGUAGCUUUCAUUGGGGCUCUUUCUCAUGUUUUGAAGGGCUAAUUAAUCUGAAAUCAUCUCCAAUAUGUGCUGGUACUACUUUAAGAAUACUCGAGAAAAAUCCCUCAAAGUACAAAUUUGACUACUUUCCAAACUAUAAUACUAAUUAGCCACUACUCCAGCCAAACUUUCUUAAAAGGCAUGAAUAAGUAGCUUUUCAUCAUUGACAUACCUAACUAUUUUGUGACAGUAUUGAGCCAAAUAUGUCUGAAGGCAUCCAAUUCCAUUAUAUUUCUCAAAUAUCAAAACCUUAAACUUGGGUGGAAUAACCACAUCUGGAACUAGUUGGGAUUCUUUUCCUUCACAAGAUUUAUCUUUACCUUCAAUAGCUUGAGUCCUUUCUUCUAAGAGAUUAUACCUUCUCUGUUCAUUUAGAUUCCAUGACUACUCUUUUUAUGGGUCCUAAGCUAGAUUUUUUAGGUUGAUCAUUCCCUUGAGCAAAAAGUCCAUCGAUAAUCUUCUCCAUCUCUCCUAUCAAAUCAAUAUUCUCCUAAUCUUUAAAAAAAAUUGCAAGGAUUGUACUCGAAGAAGAUCUUUCUUUUUUAGAGCUUACAUGAAUUGCAUUUUAUUAAAUCAAUACAUAAAUGAAUGAAUGAAUGAAUGCACAAAUGACAAAGCUUUUUGGUGAAAAGUGUGGAAAUUGGAAAAGGGGCAAGAAUUAAAGACAAACUAUAAUUCACAUAUUCAAGUUUGGAAAGACAACACCAUAUUAACAUAAAGAAACAUUUCACCAAUAAAAGAAAUUCACAAAGCAUUUUAUUUUUCAAACAACCUAUCACUUGUAGACCAUCAUUAAUAAAAAAUCACAUCCAUGUUCAUCAUCAUGUCAUCCUUUUUUUAUUGUUUCUAAACUUUUAACCCUUAUUACCAUUGGAUCAAACCAUUUCACAUUUAUGAGUGAUUGCACCUUGUAUUUAAAACCUUCACAAUUCUCAAUAGAGUGUUCAAUAAUCCCACCAUGGUGUUCACAUCUUGCACUUGGGUCAAAAUAUUUUAGGUACAGAGGCUUCAAAGGCUUUAAAAAUAUAAGACAAUAAGGUGUCUCUCAAACAGAUAGGAAAAAAAUUUUUCCUAUGAAAUAGGGAUAGGAUCUAACUAUUUCUUUUUCUUAGGUAAUUUUUGGGUAAUAGAUAAUAGUCCACAAAUUUGGUGUUGAUGCAAAGGUUUGGAGUUGAGAAAUUGGUUGAACAGUUGGUUAGGGAAUGAAAGGUUGGAAAUGUGGAUUUUUUGGAGAUUGUAUGAAGUUUUGGGGCUUGAUCUUAGAUUCUUGGAAAUGAGGUCAAAAAUAGACAUGAGAAGGAUUUGAAUGUGGGUUUAGGUUUGAUAAUAUUUGUUAAGGUUGUAUGAAACCUAGUAACUUCAUCCAAAAACUAAAAUUCUAGAGCUCAUACACUUGCAUGGUCAAAUCACUCAUCCCUUUGAUGAUCCUAUCCAAACCUUCAUUAUUGCUCAAACCACUGAAUGCUUCAACAUACUCAGGAAAUGUACUAGGCCCAACAAGAAUUGGUUGAUCACAACUCUACGAAUUCAUACUUACUUGAGCUAAAGCUGGUAAGUGCCUUAAAGAAGGCACCAAAAUAAAUUCCUUAAGUCUAUCAAUGGUUUCAUCAACUCAGCAACCUAUUUUGUCAUCUCUUGAAUGUCAUAACGAAACUCCUCUUGAUUGCAUUCUAACGCAUUAAUUCAAGCCUUCAAUUGAUCCUCCAUAUAUUUAGUUUCUUAUACCCACUAAAACAAAUUUUUUAUUUCAAAGGUUUAAACCAAAAUGCUUAUGCUAUUACUUUUGUUGAAUGAAUGAGACAAUUUGUGCUAUACAAAAUAUAUCUAUGAAUGCCUGAAUAUGAUAAUGAUGCAAAGAUAUAUACAAAAAUGGAACAACCAAAAAUAGACAAAUCACCUUAACGAUGAAUAUAGAAUGAAAUGAUUAAAUUCCAAAAAGAUGACAAACUCCUAUCCUAAAUCUCUCUUUCUGCCUUUUUUUUUACCUUUUUUUUCAUCUUUUUUUCAAAAAAUUUAUUUGCAUUAUUAUGACCCUUAAACACAAAUUGUAUCAUACUGCCCUACAUAUCCUAAUUUAGGUAAUUUCUAUGAAAGAUAUUGGCAUGGCUUUUAACUUAUGAAUAAUUUAUACAAAAGGUUGACACCACUGAUGGCUCCGAGAUAACCUUUUUUUUUUUACUGAUGACUAACCUAAAACAAACAUCUUUUCUUAAAAUAUAAUGCCCAUAUAACGUAUGCAACAAAAUUAAAGACUAAAUAAAAAUGAAUCAAUAAUCUAAAACAAAUAAAUAAUAGAAAUAACAUAACAACCACAUAAUACAACAAAAUAAUAGAAUAUAUACAAUAUCCUAACUUUUGAUGAUUUUUUAAAAUGGCGCAUGGCUCAACUUUAGGUAGGCUUUCUACAACUCUCAAUAUACUAGGUUGAGGUUUAUUCAUCUAAAGGUUCCAUGAUCAAACCUUACAUCAUCAUCCAUUACAGACUAAUAAGGCAUAUCAAUCCUCACCCAUUAUAAUUUACAAAUGCAAAGAGUUCGAUCUGAGUGGAAAUGUUUUGCUAGCAAAUGCAGAGAUUAUCACUUCAUGAGAACGUAGCUACUUCAUUUUCUCCUUAAAAGGAAUGAGCCCAGAUAUAGAGCUCAUGCAUGUCAGUCAAUAGGCAAAAAAUGUGCAAAACGAUAUAUUAAUCAAAACAACGUACAUGAAUUACAAAUAUCAAAAUAAUAAUAAUGCAAUGUAUGUAUUUUUUUUUGAAAAAUUAAAAUGAAGGGAAUUAAAUUAAAUAUUAAUGAAAAUAAAUUAAAUCCAAAACUUUUGAUAGCACAUGAUUAAAAUUUUGACCUAACUCUCAAAAUAUCUCUAGUAGAGUCGUUAAACUAUCAUAAUGUAUCAGUCCGAAGACUCGAUCACUAAACGUAACUAUUUAAAAUCAAGAAAACACACCACCAAUAUUUUUUUAGGGUGUGAUUGGUCACCCGAAAAUUUUAUCUUUUUAAUAAAAUAAUAAAACAUGUUUAAAGUUUAUUAGAAAGAUAAUUUUUGUCUAUGAAAACAAGAUUAGGUUCGAGAGUCGGUUACGCACAGGGGAAAGAUUAGCUUUCCCAUGACGCCAAUAAAUUUAGUACCAGUUAAUCAUACGCUAUUUAUAAUUUUAGACAAAAAUGGUUUUUAUAUAAAAUUUAAUUAUAAUUCUCUUCAUAAAAAAUAAUAAAAUCAAUUAAAAAUCUUUAUUUAGGAAUAUUAUGAAAAUAUUUAAAUUAAAAGAUUACCUAAAAUUCUCCAACAUAUAGACAUAAUUGGGAGAUAAUUCAUUUUGUAUAAGAUUUACCACAAUAUUUUCUUGAAAAUAAAAAUAAUAUUAUUGGAAAAUGAUAAUUAUUGGUGAUGCUCCAGCACUUAGGAAGAGCACCAAAAAAUAAUAUUCUUUCGAAUAUUAUUUUAAAUUUAUUUUAAAUCCAUUUUUUAAAUAAUAUUUUUCAUAAAAAUAUAUUUAUGCAGAAAAAAAGAUGAUACCAUAAAUAAACAAGGAACAAUAAUAACAAUUUAAAAAUAUGAGCCUAUGAAUUUAAGAUCUUAAAAUCUCAUUUUUAUUUUUUAUUUUUGUUUAAUUUUAUAAUUUUAAAAUUUGAAAAUAUAUUAAAAUUCUUAAUGAAAUAAAAUUUCUUAAAUACUCCAUCAUCUAUGUUACAUUCGAGAUUUGAUUAUUUCGUAAAAGAUUUUCAUACAAAUCCUUAAAAAUUUUUGACAAUUUUGAGGUUUUGGGUAUGUUUAGGGUUGCAAAGUUUGAUUUAGGAUUUUCACCUAGGGUCUCAAGUUUUACCUAAGGUUUAUAGUUUCUCCUAAGGCUUUUGAAUUUCACUUAAGGUUUCAUUUAGGGUUUUAUUCUAAGGUUUCAGAUUUUCUCCUAGGGUUUAGAUUUUCACUUAAGAUUUUCUCCUAGGUUUCGAUUUUAGAAAUUUACAAACUUCUCUAAAAAUCUUCAACAUCUAGGCAGACAUUCGGAGGAAGCUCCUUUUUUCAUAAUUCUUCUAAAAUGAUUUUUUAUUAUUGUUUACUAUUUAUUUAUUUUUUAUAUUAAAGAUUUUAUCAUUUUUAUUAUUUAUUUAUUUAUUUAUUAUAUUAUUUUUUAUAUUUAAUAAUUCCUCAACAUUUAGGUGGCAUUAUUAUUUUUUAAAAUAUAAUUUUUUAUUCCUUCCAACAUUUAGGUAUGGAUUAUUAAAUUUUUAUUACUUUUAAUUAAAUCUUAUAAUUGUUGUUAUUGUUGUUUUGUCUUACAUGAAUAUCAAAUACGUAGAAAAUAAAUUACAUUAAACAUAAAUUAAAACAUGAAAGAUCGCAUAAAAUUAACAUAAGCAUGAAAAUUCAACCAACAAUGAAGUUAAAAAUACAUUGGAUUGAAAUUAUAAUUAAACUUAAUCAACCCAAAAAACAAUGUGCAUUGACAAGAGUGAUACGAAAUGUGCAUAAAAAUAUAUGUUAUUAAGAAUAAACAACCUUAAGCCUCAUAUUCUAAAAAUUUUGUUUAUUAUAUAUGUAUAUAAAACUAUCCAUCCUACUCUAUUCCUUGGACCUUCACUUCUUAUGUUUCCAUGAAGUUUUUAUUUUCUUUUUUUCUUUUUUUUUUUUUUUAAAAGCAAGGAACCAGGACACCAGAAAUGCAAAGAUUUCCUCAUCACAGACAACAUGCAAAUGAAAGCAAUCAUCAAGCAAAAUUUAUUCAAGAGAAAUGAAUCAAAACCAUAUAAACAAGCACAACCGGCAAGUAAAAAGAGAAGAAACGAGCUUUAAAUUGUUUAUGACAAAUAGCAGAUGGAAUGAAACCUUAAUCAGGAGACCAAACCCACCCCCCCCCCCCCCCAAAAAAAAAAAAAAAAAAAAAAGAAAACCGUAAAGCUUUUGUUGACUAAAUUAAAAACAUAAAGCCAUAAGCUUCUGACAACCAAAUCAUAAGCAAUAAAGGAGAACAUGAAUGAUAGCAUAAUUCAUGUGCAUGAAAGCAUACUGGAAAAAAUAAAAAAAAAAUAUCUUGGUCUUCUUUCUUCUCCGGCUACCUCUUAUUUUCCAAAAAAAAAAAAAAUUUCUGCUUUCACGAUUCUUCUUUCUGCUCAGUUUUUUCUGGCUGUUUUCAUUCCUGCCCGCAUGCCCAGUGUUUUGCUUCUUCUUCCCUUUCCACGUCUAGCUUCUCUUUUACUCUUCCUUCGUCUUUUUUUCCUACUUCUCUUCCUUCCCUUCACGGUCACUAUAGGGUUUUUUAGCUACUGGUUUUUUCAUUCCUCUCCUUUUUUCUCUGGUUUCAGCCUUUUUCGUUUUCUGGUUCCACACCCCCCCCCAAAAAAAAAAAUGGCUUCUGCUUUCUCUUGCUCACCUCUCUUUUUGGUUUCCCUUCCCUCAAAUUACUACUGCCAGUUUUUGCUACUAAACCUUCUUUUUUUCUACGUUCCUUCCCUACCAGUUUUCAUUUUUUAGUUCUGCCCAACUCCUUUCCUUUUCUUUGUGUCUUUUUCCUUUUCCCUUGUCCACGCCCUAUUGAUUUCUUAUCAGUUUUCUUUGCUUCAUGUCCCUCCUCCCACUGCCCGCUUCUCACGUUUUCCAGUUUGCUUGUUGCUUCUUUUUUUUUUUUUUUUUCGCUUUCUCGCAAUUGGCUUCUCUACCAGUUUGUUACGCCUUUUCUGCCUCUCCUUUCACUGGUUUUUCUCUUCUCUUCCUCUUCCCCGUUCUUUUUUUCCAGUUUUUCUUCCUUAUUUCCUCCACCCGAAUGCUUUCUUUUCUGUUGGCUUCCUCUCUUCUUUUUUGCCAAAAACUCUCCCUUGGUUUUCCUCUUGCCCGAAUGCCACCCUUUUCGUUGCUAACCUCUCUCAAAACCUUUCUUUUUCUCUUCCAGUUUUCCUCUCCACGUCUCCACGUUUCCAUGUAGUUUCUUAGCCAUCGCCAUAACUUUCACGUGGCUUCCUCUUCAGGUAAUUUUCUUGAACAUUUUUUUUUGUUUUUCUGGUCUUCCCUUCCAUGCAUGAGCUUUAGGCUAAAUGGGAGGAGGACCCCUCUACCAUGCUAGGCCACACGGGCCUCUUUUCAAGCAAGUUUUAAGGCUGAAUGGGCUUCCCUUCGGCCAUGUCUUGGGCCUUCAACAAAAAGCCAUGUUUUAGAGCCUUGAUCUAUGGCCAUUGUUAGGCUUUGCUUUGUUUUUGGCUAACUCCUUUUAUUUCAUUGUGUUUUGUUUAGGCUCUCAUUUAUUUUGGGCCUCACUUUUUCUCUUUUUUAUUUAAUUAUUGUUAUUAUUAUUUUAUUAUUAUAUUUACUAUAUAUUUAUAUUUAUAUUUAUAUUUAUAUUUUUUUAUUAUUUUUGUUUAAUGGUCAAUAUUAGGCCAUUAAUGGGUUUUAAGGAUUAAUAUUUUAUGAGGCCCAUUAUUGGGCCAUUUUGGGCUUUCACUCAGGUCUAAACAAUAGGCCUUAUUAUGGGGCCCACAUUAGACCUCACAUUGAAAUAUUUGAAAAUUGACUAUGAAGCAGGCACGGAAAUAAUGGUCAUGACCCAAUUGCAGAACUAAACCUAAGUUAAAGUGAUAAAAUAUUCUGGAUAAAAUUAGCUAUCUUCAGGAUCAAGAUUCUUAAUGUGAUCCAACGUUUCAGAUUGUUUGCUACCAAAGAUGUGAUUUUUAGAGCUUUUGAAUCAAGUGAAAAGACCAUUUUACCCUUGAUACAAAGUUUUUGGUCUUUGGGUCAUUUUUUUGGAAAUCAAUGCUCUCGUGUUCAUUUUUGUGAUUUUAAAGUACCAAUAAUCAUGGAACAAUAUGAAAUUAAGAUUUGAAAAGUUUCAUAAAAAUCCGACCUUGAGAAGGUAAAAUUAUAAAAUUACUUCAUAUAAGGAUAUGUGAGAGGUGUUGCUUACUUGUGGAACCAUAGUUAGGAAUUAUCUUAGCCUAGGUAAAUUCUUGUAUUUUAGCACUUGUUCAUGAUUUUGCUUUAGUUAUAUCCAUUGUUCAAUCCAUGAGGCAUUCAUAUUGAAUGAAGCAUUAAAGGUAUGUUAUGAUUCUUGCUCAAUCUUGUUUUGCUUAAAGACAAGCAAAAACUUAAGUUUGGAGGUUUGAUUGUACUAAAAUUUUAGCUUUUUCAUGCUCAUUUUUAGUGCAAUUUAAUUCAUAUUUUGGCUUGUUCCGUAGGAUUUUUGGCAAAAUUGCUCCUAAAUGCACAUUAAUCUAAUGUGUGGGUACAAAUGGAGAAAAUAAGGAAUUUUGGUCAAAUUGGAUACACUUUGGAGGAUUUUUGGUGUAAAAUUAUGCAAUUGGCCUAAACUAGUGUCAAUAUGCAAAAUUGACACUUAGGAAGUUUUCUCGAUUUUUCUUGCUCGAUUUUUUUAGUAUUAUUUUAAUAUUAUUAUUUUUAAUAAAAUGUAUGAUAAAAAUGUUCGUAGAAUUUUUGGAAAUCUUGCAAGAAAAAAAGAAAGAAAUGAAAAAAAAUACAUAGAUAUGAAGCAUGCAAGAAUGACGUUGGUGCAUGCUGUAUGGGAGGAGCACCAAAUUUGCAAGGCACACGCUGGUUCAAGAGCACCAAUUAGAUGGACUGAAAUGGAACUUCGGAGAGCUCCUAUUGGCUAUAAAGUGGACUUUUUGGUGUGGCAAAAAUGCAUGAAAACAAGCUUUCAAACCAGUGAAGAGUUUUAAAGCCAAACAGCCAUGCACUAAGCAUAGAAGCAAGGGGGAAAUAGGUCUCUAGAAGCUGACCUCAUUGGAGAUAUUUUGGAAGAUUUUUUCAUUCACCACUUACCUACUUAUAAAUAGGAGUGCAGCUAGCCAUUUUAGAGAGACUUUAGCAUAGGAUUUUAUUUUUCAUGUUCUUUAAUAUCUACACUUUCCUUUACUGUAUUUUAUAUUCUUAGCAACCAAACAGCCCUCAAUCUUCAUGUUUGCCAAUUGAUUUUGAUUACACUUUUACAUUUCCUCAAGUAGUUUUCAGUGUUCUUUACGAUUUUGGCAAUGAAACUUGCAAAUUUUAUUGAUUUCUAGCUCAAAUCUACUGAUUUUUCAUUGAUACUCAAACCUGUUUUUGAAUCUGCCAGUUCUAACCAACCUGCGGUUUUUUGAUGAUAUCUCACGCAAAUCUUGCUUAUUUUUGUUCAAUUUUUUUUCAUAGUUUCCUAAUUCAAUUAGCUACAACAUAUUAAAAAUUCAACUUGAAACUCGCACCACAGCAUUCCAGAUCAAGCUUGGAAAUUUUGGCUGUAUGCAGUGACAGUGCAGUUCCAGUUUUGAUGCAGAAAGUUUGGCAUGGAACUGCUCUCUCCUUGGCGAUCUGUUUGCCUUCUUUCCACUCUAAAUCCUUAGUUUUAUUUGUUUACUUGUUGAUUAUUACGUGAUUCAGUUUAUUUCUUUACAUUUCAUUCCUGUUUGGAUCAUUUUCUUAGAUGAUGUUUUGAUUUUCCAGAUUUUGUACUAUUUUUGAAAUUGAGUUUGUUGAGCUAAUUUCUUUAUUGAUUCAUACUAUUUUCUUGUUGUUUUAGGUAGUUAACUCAUAGAUCUAGGUAAUUCUAGCUUAGAUACAGCUCAUUUCCAUUUUAUGAUUGUAGGUUGAAUUUUUUCUUUAGCUAUAUCAUGCAUUGCCAUUGUUCACGUCAAUUUUGGUUUACUGUUUUGUUCAUUGUUUGAUAAAUCUUCUAGUCAGCUUUGGUUCUACAAUUUAAACUCACAUUUAGUCCUUUACUUAGUUCUUCAUUUAGUCUACUUAAAGUUUCAUUUGUUCAACAUUAGGAGUAAAAUAAAAAGCAAUUUACAGCUUGCGUUCAUUGCUGCAUUUCUACAUUUGUUCAUUACUUAACUAUUUUUGGUUCGUAAUUUCUAUUUGAUUUACUUUUCUUUACAUUCAAUUUAUUCAAUAUUUUUUAGAUCAUGUCUUUAUAUAGGAUGUUAGUGGUUGUUUAGACUCUAGUUCAUGUUCAGUAAACUUUGCAUUUUUUUUAGCUUUUAUUCCUUGACAUGUUAGGCAUUAAAUCUAGUUUUGAUAAUUCCAGGAUGUAAGCGUGAAUUUUGUAAUUGCAUUUCAUGCUUGAUUUUCAAUUGUGCAUUUUAUUUUAGUUAGUAUUUGUUUUUGCAUUUUAGGAUUAGUUUAAAAUUCAAUUGUCAUGCAUUUAUUGUUUAGUGAAAUUUUCAUGCAUUUAGAUAUUGAUUGAAUUUUGUUUUUAGUUAGUUCAAUUUCAUGUUGAUUCUUUGAUCAAACCAACUUUGAAAGGAUAGGGUGAUAAUAAGUACUUAGCCUAGGAAUAUCUUUAACUAAUCUUUAUGGGAUCAACAUCUUGACCUUUUGGUCACUAUUAUUACUUGUACGGUUUAUGCACUUACAAAGUUUUCCCAAUCAAGAAGAUAUUUUUAAAGUUUCAAAGCCUCUAUUUAAAGAAGCUUUCCAAAUAUGAGAUAGUUUUAAAGUUUCAAAGCCUCUAUUUGGAGGAGCUUUUCAUAGUUAAAACUUUUAGUUUCCAAGUUUAUGAGGAGCUUUUCAAAUAGGAAAAUUUUUAAACUUUUAAAAACUUCUUAUAGCCCUUCCCCCCCCAAAAAAAAAACCCACCUCAAGCCUUUGUCCCGAACAAAAUUGAUGUUUUUGUCUUUGCAUUGUUUUUUAUUCUAAAAAAUAUAUAAAGAAGGGCAACUGUAGAUAUCUAAUUUUGUCUAGGAAAAUUCUAUCAAGUUGUGAAGCUUUCAAAGCCCAACCCAGUUCAAAUCCAACAUUUCUUUGACAUUGACAACUUUUCAAAAUCAAAUUUUUGGAUCAAAUUAAUCCGAAUGCUCUAUGUAGACAUUUAAUUUUGUUUGAAUAAUUUUUGGCCUAUUGUGAUGUUCUUAAAGCCCAACCCAAUUUGAAUUAAGUCUUUCUUUAUUUUUGACAAAAGUGCAAAAUUAGAUUUUGGACCAAAUUGACCCGAAUGCCUUGUGGUCAAACAUGGUAAAAAAAAGUCAAACUCGAUUGAAAAAAGUCAAAAUUAGUUGAGCUCAAGCUCAUUGAUAAAAUUCACAACCUAAUGGGAUUAUCAAGGCUUAGAAUUAAUAUUCUUGUGAUUUGAUGCAUUAAAAAUCCUGACUAUACGUCGGAAAGAGUAAAAUUACCAAAAUACCCUUCAAGGGUAUUUUCAUAAUUUUGACCUCCUCAAGAUCAAAAUUUCGUGAAAAACUCCAAAUCACAUUUUAAUAUCAUUCCAUGAUUUUGUAUGCAUUAAAAACCUUGAUCGCACCAAAAAAGGUGUAAAAUUACCAAAAUACCCUUUAAUGAUAUUUUCAUAAUUUGACCUUCCUAAGGUCAAUUUUUCAUGAAAGACUCUAGGAAAAUGUUUUCAUAUUAUUUCAUGAUUUUGGUGCAUUGAAAACCAUGGUCACACCUUAAAAGUGUGAAAUUACUAAAAUACCCAUCUAGGGGGUAUUUUCAUAAUUUGACAAUCCCAAGGUCAAUUUUCACGAAAACUUUUAAAUCAUAAUUUCAUAUUAUUUUAUGAUUUUUGGUGCAUUAAAAUCAUAAAAACAAGGAUGGAAUCAUAGGUUUCCAAGAAAAUCAAGCAAAUUCACAAAAUUGCUAAUAAGGGUAAAAUGGUCUUUUUUUAUGGUUACAUGCAACAUUCAAUAUCCAAUAUUUGGCUAUGUUCUUUUUGAGCUAUUUGAUAUUCUAAGAACUUAGAUCCUAUGGUGAAAGGUGGUUGCUUGAAAAAUAAAUAAGAAGGCUAAAGAAGGCCUUUUUAUGGGGAAUUAAUCCAAAGGUUAGAAAACUAUUGCAUGGCCUUUAUAUUCAUCAUUUAGGGUUGAGAUUAGAGAUGAGGCAACAGCUAAAAUUGGUGUGAACAAGGGACAGGAAAAAAUGGGAAAAAAAAGGAAAAAAUUGCAAAGCUUUGGGAGGUAUAAAUUUACCCUAUCCUCCAUGCAUUUUUUUUUAAUCAUUUUCAUGCAUUUCCGUAUUAGUUCUCCUUGUUGUUUUGGUUUCAUGUGAUCAAACCAUAGCAAAAAUCCACCAUUAAUAGCACUUUAGAGGUUCAGCCAACUUUUGCAUGUCAUUGGCUGAACCUCCUCUUGGUUUAUUUCCAUGUUUUACUUGCUUUGGUUAAUGUAUCUUGAUGGGUUUGAUGUUAUAUUGAAUGUAUUUGCAUGCUUUUUGAUUGCAUUUAUGGAUUGCAUGUUGUGUUUGACUAUUAUACAUGUUUCAAUGGUUUCUUCUUUUAGUUGUUUAUUACAUGUUUGAUGAGAAUUCUUUCACAAUAACAUGUCUUCAUAAGAUAGAUUUCUAUGUGUUUGAUAAUGUCUUGGCUAAAAUAAUGAUAGUAUGUCUAUGGGAAGCCAUAAUAAACAUUUGAACAAGUAUUCCCCAUUACUUGGUCAAACCUUUCAUCAUUGUUUGGUGGCUAACAAUUGAUAAUUUCAGAUCUGUUUGCUCAUGUUCUUAGUUAUUUCUCUAUGCUUUUUAUAUGUUUGACACAAUCCUCAAGGAUUAAAAGUGUUGAGUUGGUAAGUUUUCUAGUGGAUUUCAAUUUGUUUUGUAUGUGUUUGUUUCGAAACCAAAUGGUGGAGACAUUGUUUGAUAUGUGUGGCCAAUGCAAUGAGACUUUAAAAUGGCCAAGAAGGUUUUGGCCUAGCUUCAACCAUAGCUUGGCCGAAUCUUCAUGAUCCCCCCAAACCCUUGGUUUGAUUUCUUUUAACUAGGUUUCACUUGCACAAUUAGUUUUUUUAUGUGUUUGUGAUAUUACUCAAGUUAUAAUUUUCUAUGUAGUUUCAUUUCAUGCAUCAAAGGUCUCAUUUUUACAUUAGCAUCAUGGUUAUUUUGUCACAAGCAUUGCCCAUGCUAACCCUAAACAUCAGCCAAAUUCUAGAUCCCAAGCAAAUCCUAAACCCUUAUUUAAACCCUAAACCCUCACUCAAAUCUUAAACCCCAUGCAAGCCAAAACCAUAAACCCUUUCCCAAAACUAAAACACUCACCUAAACCCUAAACACUCUCCCAAACCCUAAACCUUUAUCCAAACCCUAAAAUCUCACCUAAAUCCUAAACAUUCACCUAAAUUCUAAAACCUAUCAAAACCUUAAACCCCCAUCCAAACCUUAAAUCCUUAUGCAAGUUGACACCCUAAACCUCUCAUAAACAUUAAAACCCCAUCCAAAUCCUAAAUCCUUAUGCAAACUGAAAUCCUAAACCUUCCCUCAAACCCUAAAACCAUAUGCAAACCCUAAUCCCCAAGCAAGCCAAAAACCUAAAGCUCUCCCAAAACCUAAACGCUCACCCAAAACCUAAACGCUCACCCAAACCCAAAACCAUAUCUAAACCCCAAUCCCUAAGCAAGCCAAAAACCUAAACCUCUCACAAAACCUAAACACUCACCUAAACCUUAAAUACUCACCCAAGCCCUAAAUUUGAACCUAAUGCCUAAAUUCCAAACCUUAAACCAAACCCUAAAACUUUCCCAAACCCUAAAUCUUAAACCAAACCCUAAACUUGAAUCUAAUUUCCAAACAUUAAACCAAACCCUAAACCUGAAUCUAAACCUUAAAUGAAACUUUAAACCAAGCUUACCACCUAAACACUAAACUAAAUCCCAAACCCUAAAUCGAUCCCUAAACUCGAAACUAAUCUCUAAAACAACCCAAACCCUAAACCAAGUCCUAAACCCUUAAACCCUAAACUAAACCCCAAACCUUAAAUCAAACCCUAAACCUUAGAGUAAGUCCCUAAACCCUAAAUCCUAAACCAAACCUUAGACCCCAUAUCUAAACCCUAACCAAACCAAGUCCCCUAACCUAAACCUUAAACCAAGACCCCUAACCCAAACCCUAACCAAACUGAGACUCAUAGCCUAAACUCCCAAAGCAAGACCCCUAACCUAAACUUUAUCAAUUUGAAUCCGUAAACCAAACCCCAACCUAAAUUGAGACCCUAAAUUGUCCAUAAACCAACCAAAAUCCAAACCAAUCCUAAACCAAACCACCCUAUCAAACCAAAUUAACCCUAAACCCUUAGCACUUAAACCUUAACCAAUCCCUAAAACCCUUAAACUACCCCUAAAACCCUAAUUCCACCCUUAACCUAUUCUCAUGCAUUUUACAUUACACUAUUAUAUAUCAUUGCAUGUACUAUUAUGUUAUCAUUUAAUUCACACAUUUGCAUUUCAUCAUUCAUGAUCUUAAUUACCAUGCAUUUAUUAUUAUGUUCAUACAUACCAUCCAAAUAUUUUGUGAAUAAAAUCCUUAAAAAAAUACUUUAAAAUAAUAAAAAGAAGGUAAUAUUUCAAGUAAAAAUAACCUUUGAGAUAUGACCUAAAUAUAGGGGGAUUAUUAAUGGUUGUCAUUUAAACAUAAUAUUACUUUGGUUUUGUGGGGCAUUUUGAAAACUCUUAAAGUUAGAGUUAUUUUUGAAGCUCUACUUAAAUAUAGGGAAGUGAAAAAAGUGUUUCGAGACAUAGGAUUUUUCAUCUUGAUCCAAUAAUUUUUUUAUUUACCUAAAAAAUAUAAUAUAAUAAAAAAUGAUUUGUUUUCAAAAUUAAAAUGAUUUGAUUUGCUUAAAAUAAAGAAAUAAGGGAAUUAGUUUUCAAACAUAAAAAACAGAACCAUUUUUACAAAAGCUCAUGGAUAAUAUGCAAUCAAGUGGUAUCGUUUUCAAUGGGUGUUGUAGGGAUGCUAAUUCUUCCCCAAUCGUAACCAACUACUAGACCUAACUUUGAUUUUCACAAACUAAAAUUAUUCUUUUAAUAAACUUUAAAUGUAUUUUAAAUUUUUUAUUAAAUUGAUAAAAUUUUUGGGUGGCUAAUCAAACCCUUAAAAAGAUUGGUGGUUAGUCAUCGAUUUUGAUAUGUUUUGAAAAACCUUUUUGUUUUGUCUUCUCACAUCCAAUGGUUGAGUUCUUGAACCCACACAUUGCAACACCCCAUGGUCAAACUUAGUCAAACUUAAUCAAACAAAGUCAAAUCUAGUCAAUAUCAAACAAACUUGGUCAAGCUUGGGCCAAUCCUUGGAACUCACAACUAAAUAGGAGUAUAAAGAAAUGGGGUUAAUAAUAUUGUGAUUUUGAUCCACUAAAAGCCAUGAUUGCACCAUUGGGGAUAAAAUUACCAAAAUGCCUUUUAGGGGUUUUUUUUUUAUAAUUUGACCUUUUUAAGGUCAAUUUUUUAUUAAAACCUCGAGAUCAAGUAUUUACAUUAUUUUAUGAUUUUUGGUGCAUUGAAAAUCUUGAUUACACCUCGAGAGGAUUCGAAUUAUCAAAAUGCCCUUUAGGGGUAUUUUCAUAAUUUUACCUUUUCAAGUUCAAUUUUUCACAAAAACCUUUAGAUUAUAUAUUGAUAUUAUUUUAAUGAUUUUUAAUGGAUUAAAAACCCUAAUCGCACAUUGAAAAAGUUGAAAUUACCAAAAGUCCCUUUUGGGGUAUUUUCGUAAUUUGACUUUCCCACAAUUGGCUUUUCAUGAAAAGCUCUAGAUAAUGAUUAAGUAUUAUUUCAUGAUUUUUGGUGCAUUAAAAUCACAUAAACAAAGAUGGGAUCAUAUGCCUUUAAAAAAAUCAUGUAAAAGUGUUAAAAAUGUUAAUAGGGGUAAAAUAGUCUUUUCCCAUUAGGUCAACUACACUAGGAGCCACAUUUUGUAUUAAAUUCAUCCUAAGCCAUUGAUAUUUCAAGGGUUUAAAUCUAAGGGUCAAAUGUGGUUGCUUAAUGAAUAAACUUGUAGAAAAUGUGGAGCCAUUGGAUGAACUUUGAUCAAAGGGCUAAGGGAACUUUGCUUAGCCUUUAUAUUCAUCUUAUAGGGUUGGAAAUAAAAGGGGAAGGUAGCCAAACAAUGGCGUGAGGGUGGGAAAAUUAGGUGAAAAAAAGGAAAAGUUAGGAAAAGCUUUGAAGGUAUAAUUAUCUCCUCAUUCACAUGCAUUCUCAUGCAAGCUUUUACAUUCAUUAGUAUUAGUUUUCUUUGAUUUUUGUGAUUUUUCAAAAGAGAAAAACUCUCCUCAUAUUUGUUUUCCUCCAUAUUUCCAUGCUUGAUCCAAUAAAUUUAACCAACCCAAUCAUUGGUAUGGUUUAAAGUGAGAAAAAUUAAGAAACAAUAAUGUUUUCCACUAUUAAAGUUUUGACCAAGCUCUCCCAUGCCAUGGCUAAACCCCCUCUUGAGUUAUUCAUGAAUUUUGCUUCCUUGGAUCGAUGAAUGUUGAUGUGUUUGUGGUUGUAUUGAUUGUUAAUUUCAUGCUAGUUUAUUACUUUCAUGAGCUACAUUGGUUGUUUGGUAAGUAUGGAUGUUUGUAAUACUUUCCUUUAUAGUAGUUUCUUAAAUGGUCCUUUGAUAAUAAAAUGCCUUCAUAAAUUAGUUUUCUAUGUGUUUGAUAUAUGUCUUAGCUAAAUAAAUGAUGGAGUGUUUAUGGAGGGACCAUGGGAAGCUAUUGGCCUAGCAUUACCCAUUACUUGGCUGAGACUUCCAAUCUUGUUUUUCAUGGCUAAAAGUUGAUGUUUCAUGUAUGCUUGAUUUUGUUCUUGGUUAGAACUUUAUGUUUUCCAUGUGUUUUAUAAAAUUUUUAAAGGAUAAAAAAUGUUGAAUGAGUGAUCUUUCUUGAUAAGUUUAACCUUGUUUUUAUAUGUGUGUGUUGGAAAUUAAAUGGUGGAUACAAUCACCAAGGUUUGGCCAACACAAGGGGCGGUUAAAUGGCCAUGCAAGUUUCAGUUUAAGCUCUCCCCACAACUUGGUUGAACCUUGCUUUUCUGUUUGACCCUUGGUUUUUUAUUUAUUUUUAGUAAGGUUUUUGCAUGCAUAUUUAGUUUAUGAUUUGUUUGUGAAUUUGCUUAAGUUAUGGCUUUCACGUUUAGUCCCAUUUCAUGCAUUAAAUGUUGCAUUUCACAUUGAUACCAUGUUCAUUUAUUUUGUCACAAGCAUUAUUCAUGCCAAACCCAAACAUAAACCCAAAUCCGAAACCAAACCCUUAAACCCUAACCUAAACCUUCAAACCUAAGAACCUUAAACUCUAAGCUAAACCAUUAAACCCCAAAUCAAAACCCUUAAACCCCAAACCAACCUAAAACCUAAAACCUUAACUUAGACCCUCAAACCCUAAACUAACCCUAAACUAAUCCCAAACGCUAACUCAAACCCUAAACCAAUCCCAAACCCUAAAACUCAAACCCUAAAUCAAUCCCAAACCCUGAAACUUAAACCUUAAAUCAAUCCCAAACCUAUGUAAACCCUAAAAUAACCCAAAACCAAUCCCAAACCCUAACUCAAACCCUAAACCAAACCUAAACCAAAACAACCCCUCUAUACCCAAAGUAACCCUAAAACCAAACCAACCCAAACUAAAUCUCCAAACCCAAACUAAACUAAAUGCCUACACAAAUUGAGCCAAAACCAUGCUAAACUAAACCAAAACCACGCUAAAUCUAACCAAUCCACAAACCCUAAGCCAACCUUAAACCCAUUCUCAUGCAUUUGCAUUUAAUUUUUAAUAAAUUGUUGUGUACAUUUAGUUCUUGGAAUUGUCAUUGCAUUCGUGCAUUGUAUUUUUCAUUUUCCUUUCAAUUGCCAUUCAUAUAUAAUAUAUCUUUAUGUUAAUGCAUAUCAUUUACAUGUUUCAUAAAUAAAAAUCUUCUAAGAAAAUGUUUUAAAAAUAAUAAAAUAAGGUAAUAUUUCAAGGAAAAAUAACCCUUAAGAUUUAGCCUAAAUAUAAGAGGAUUCUCAAUAGUUAUCAUUUAUGAAAUAUUAUCUUGGUUUUGUGUCACAUUUCGCAAACUCUUAAAGUUAGAGAUAUUUUUUAAAUUCUCCCUAAAUAUAGGGGAGUGAAUGAGGUGUUUUAAGACUUAGGAUUUUUCAUCUUGAUCCAAAAUGAUUGCUUUCUUCUUUUUAAGAAAUCAAAAAUCAAAAUGAUUUGUUUUAAAAAAAAAAUUUAAGAGGACUCAAUUGUUGGGGUGAGUAAAUAAUAUUAAGGAAUCAAUUUGUAAAUAUUAAAGUUAGGGCAAUUUUUACAAAAACUCAAGGAUAACAUGUAAUCAAUUGGUAUCAUUUUUAAUGGACAUUGUGGGGGUGCUAAUCUUUCCCCACUCAUAAUGACUCUUGAACCCAACUCUAUUUUCAUAGACCAAAAAUAUCUUUUUAAAAACUUUAAACUCAUUUUAAUGUUUUAUUAAAAGGAUAAACUUUUUAGGUGGCCAAUCACACCUUAAAAAAAGAUUGGUGGUGACUCUUUGGUUUGAUGUUUUCAAAAAUUGCUUACUUUUUUAUUUUCCUCGUCUAGUGGUCGGGUUUUCGAACCUUCAUGUUAUGAUAGUGACAAAAUCUUUUUAAUGUUUCCCUUAAUUAUAUUGAAUAUCAUAUUUAGACUUUUUCACUCUAUGUUGAUCCUGAAUUGGUAAGUCAAGAAUCAACUAUUUUUUAAUUUUUUAAACAAAGAUUUUUUUUUUAAUUUUUUAAUUAUCAUGCUUUUGUUAUCUUUAUAUUAAAUAAAAAAGGACAAUGAAAGUGAAAGAAAGAGUAUAUAGUUUUUUUUUUCUAUUACUAUUAAGUUACUAUCUUUUUAUUUUUAAUAGUUGAUUUUUUAAUUAAAAUUUAUAUUGGUUUAUAAUUAUCUCAAUUUUGACAAAUUAACCAAGGUAUGUUGUAAAUUAACUAUCAUAUGUAUUUUAUGCAUAUCUUACACAUAUAAAUUUAAUAAUAUCAAAUAAAUAGAUAAAACUAAUCCGUAUAUCGCACGAGUCACAAACUAGUACUAUUUAUAAUAAUGAUGAUAUUAAAUGGUAUAGAUCUUAUUAGAUUCAAAUUUCUAAAAAUGAUAAAUAUUACAGAUUACUUAGAUAGUGAUACAAUUAGUAGUAUAAAACUUAUUGGAGUAAAUUUCAUCAUUAGUUACUGAAUUUAUGCUAAAGUCCCAUUUAGGUCAUUGAAUUUUAAUUUAUCCUAACUAGGUCACUAAAAUUUAUUAAACAUACCAAAAUUGGUCAUCCUAAUAGAUUUUAUUCAAUUUUUGAUAGAAAAAUGACAUAGCUACUAUGCUCAGCCAUAUCAACUAACUAAACCCAUAUAAUUUAAUGAAAGGUUAUUAAACUUUCACUUAAUUUUUAGAUAGGUCACUGAACUUUAAUUUGUCACUACAAGGCCACUAAAAUUUAUUUAGUGUACCAAAUUUGAUUACUUUAAUAAAUUUCAAUCAAAAUAAAGUUAGAUAAAAUCUAAAUAUUAAACUCAACUCAAUAACAUCCAAACUUUUUAUGUAAUAAAAUAUCCUAUCAUACCUCACAUAAAACCAAAAGAAAAAAAAAUUAAGUAAACUUAGAGAAGAACUUUAAUGAAUAUUUGUUUUUCUUGAACUAUUUAAAUUAAAAAAAUAAAUAUUUAAAUAAAAAUAAAGUCCUAACAAUUUAAUUAAAACAUUAUUCAUUAAAUAUUACUAAUUUUAUUUAUAUUAAAAAAUAUAAUUAUUUAAAUAUUUAUUAAAUAUUGCUAUUCUAUUAAUACUAAAAAGUAUAAUAUUUAAAUAUUUAUUAAAUAUUACUGCUUUUAUUUAUAUCAAAAAGCAUAAAUAUUUAAUAAAUAAAGCUUUAAUUAAAUUAUAAGCAUUUAUUUUUUACUUAAAUAUUUAUGUUUGUUAAUUUAAAUAAUGGUAGUAAUACUUCAAGAAAAACAAAUAUUUAUUGAAGGUGUAUCUGUUCCGCAUUUACUUUUUUUUUUUUAAUUUUUUGUGAGGUAUGAGAGGAAUUCUAGUUACAUAUAAAAUUUGGAUGUUUGGUUGAGUUCAAUAUUUAGAUUUUAUCCAACUUUUAUUUUGGACAAAAUUAAUUCUUGUAACCAAAUUUGGUACACUUAAAAACUUUUAGUGACCUUGUAGUGACAAUUAAAGUUUAAUGGCCUAUUUGAAAAUUGGGUGAAAGUUUAAUGACUUUCCAUGAAAUUAUAUGGGUUUAGUUACAUAAUGUGGCCAAUGACGUGCCAUCCAUGUUAUUUUUUGUCAUAAUUUGAAUGGAAUCUGUUAGGGCAACCAAUUUUGGUAUACUUAACAAACUUAAGUGACCCAUCUGGGACAAAUUAAAAUUCAAUGACCCAAAAGGAAUUUGGAUAUAAAUUUAAUAACUAUUGAUGAAAUUUACUCAAACUUAUUGGAUUGAAAGUUCCAAUUAAAAUUUAUAUUGUUAUAUAUAUAUAUAAAUAUAUAUAUUACUAUCAUAUUUUCUCCAUAUAAAUUUAAUUAUUAUUUUACAUUAAUGAAUGUAUUCAUAUAUCUAGUUCAUAAUUCUGCCAUAAAAAAUAAUUGAAAGCACUAUAAUGAAUGAUAAAUAACAUAGAAUAAAAACAUGAAGCAAAGCCAAAUUUGUAAAUAUUGUUAGUAUAUGUUCUACAAGCUAAAUCGAUUUUGGUGAAAAAUAUCAUCAUAUCGUAAUAUUUGAUAUCUUAUAAAGGUCUUGAUUAUUUUAUCAUUAAGCUUAUAUCAAUUUGCUGUUGAUACUUACAUGAUAAAGUCCUAAGAGUAUAAAUAAAGCAUUGCAAGAGAAUUAUAAUGAGAUUGUAAUUAUGAGAUCUUUAUUGCAUAAAAGCUAUAUUUCUAAAAGUUCCUAGUCGAUGUUUUAUCAAUAAAAGGACAUUGACAAAAGCUAUUGAGACUAGCACAUGGUUAUGUUCUUGCUCAUAAAGCAAGUAACUAUUCUCAUAGGUUGAAGUUUGGUUAAAAUUAAGCUAAACAUGUGGGUGCUUGUUAUAAGAGCAAGUUCACUAAACAUAACCGAAGAUGAGAAUGCUAUAUGGUAGUUCACAUAAAUAUUCUCAUGUGAUGGGUGUAUACGUGAUCCUCUAAGUUGAGAUUACUUAUGAUCUUAUAUGAUGAGUGCUAUACUUUGACUUUACUUUACUCAUGGAUGUAAUCAUAAAUGCUCUAGUCAGGUAUAGUUUAGUAUAAC
RNAcentral lists this long non-coding RNA (45492 nucleotides) under Durio zibethinus. Its description in RNAcentral is "long non-coding RNA (DZIB_LNC001679)". The record is from RNAcentral. Lineage: Eukaryota; Viridiplantae; Streptophyta; Magnoliopsida; Malvales; Malvaceae.